This 66743-nucleotide long non-coding RNA is filed under the name Zostera marina. RNAcentral's name for it is "long non-coding RNA (ZMAR_LNC001096)". The record is from RNAcentral. Lineage: Eukaryota; Viridiplantae; Streptophyta; Magnoliopsida; Alismatales; Zosteraceae.
CUUCCAAAGAAAUGUGUAAAAGAACUUCAAUAUUCUUGUAACGACAACCGUCGAUGAGCAUACAAAUCAGAGAAAAAUUCAUCUAACAUUGGUAUAAAUUCGUCUAACAUUGGUAUCAUUUGAGAUAAAUUCUAAUUUUAAAAAUCAAACUAUCAAGAUCAAACUAUAAUAAAAUUAUAAAAUAAAAAAUAUACCUUUAAAUUUAAAAUCCAUAUUUCUAAUAAACGUUAUCAAGUUUUUAUAAUUGUCCUGAUAAGAACGGUUAUGUGGAAAGCUAUUAACUUCUCUAAAUAAUUCACAAUUGACAUUGCCGAUCCAUGUUUUCUUUAUAUCACGGAAAUAGUCAGAUAUAUACCUAACUCUGUAAAAAUCAUAGUCAGAUAUAUACCUAGGCGUCGCAUAGGCGGUCAUGCGCUCCAGGUCGGAUCCGCCUAACCCAAUAACCCAUUUAAAUGACUUAAGUCAUUUAAAUAAAAGGGUGAGGGUUUAAAAAACCUUAACUCCUCUCUUAUUUCUUCUUUCUUCCUCUUUUCUUCCCUUCCCUCAUACAUUUGAACCCCAAACCCUAGAUUUUCAGAUCAUCUCCCCCAUCUAUUUUCUCCGGCCAUCUUCUAGGGAGACUUCGGCCACCACAAGGGAACACUCCGGCGACCUCCACACGUGCUCCGACGAAGUCUAGGCAUGCUCCGGCGACCCUCCGGCCAUCGUCGACCUAGGUAUUUUUUGUCCCAAAUUUUUUUCCUAUGUGCCCCCUAUCUGUCCAAACCUAUAUCUCACUCCGGACAGUCAUAAAUCGCACUCCGGCACUCUUAAAGAACACUCCGGCGAUCACUUAAAAAAACACUCCGGACUUUUCUUGACCAUAUCAGGUGGGAAAGAGUUGGUGAGAUGCGGAGUCACAAGAUUCGCAACGUCUUUUCUCACAUUACAGAGUUUGAAAGAACAGAGGGAAAAUUUGAAGAAGAUUGAUUGGCUACCAUGGGCUAAUGUGACUUGUGGAAGUGAAGUGCAAAAAUUAGUCUGAACCAACUCUUUCUGGUUGAGCCUAUACGAGUGUUUGGCCGUUUCUGAACCUCUAGUGAGGUUGCUGAGAUUAGUUGACCAAGAUGACAAACCAUGCAUGGGCAGAAUUCUGAAUGACUUGAAGAUGGCAAGGAAGCACACUAGAGAUAUGUUGAAAGACAAGAAUCUGCCAUUGCUAACCCAAAUUGACAAGAUCUUCGAUAAGAGUAGGUUUGCUGAAAUGCUUCUCCCAACGCUUAACCCGGAUUUCGGUCGAUUCGACAAGAUUCGACCCGGAUCCGCCUAACCCGCUCCAGCGCAUGACCGCCUAGGCGUCGCAUGAAAAACUAUGGUCAUGACCACCGCAUGAACACAUGAAAAAGCUUGGUAAAAAUCAAGGUUUAAAAACCGACGGUUAACCGGCUGACCGGUAAAAAAUUAAAAACCGGUGGCCGGUUAAUUGGGACGGGUAAAUGGGUUGAUGGGUCGGGUCUUACCCGAACCCAACCCGAAUACCCAACCCGGUUUCAAUAAAAUAAUAUUUAUUUAAUCUGUUUUAAUUUGUUUUUUUUAAAGACUUCAUUUAAUAAAGCCCAUUACGUUUUAUUAAUAAGUUAUUUUAAGGCCUCAUUUAAAGGCCUUAUUUUAAUAAGUUUAAAUUUUAUAAGCCUCUCCUUAUAAGUUAUUAGACCUCAUUUGAAUUACUAUUUUGAAUUACUAUAUUGUUUAUGAUAUUUUUAUUUAUAUAAACAUGGAUAUAAACAUGGAAUAGAUAUAUAAGUAUAUAACAGAAUUUCUGUUUUAAAAAAAAAUUACGAAAAUACCCCUAUCGGUUAACCAGUGGUCUAACCGGUAAGCCAGAACCGAUUACCGGUUAACCGGUUUUUAAACCUUGGUAAAAAUAAAGAUAAAAGAAUUGAUAUUAGUUUAAAAGUUCAACAAAUAUAUUAUAUUCUAUUAUUAAUUUAAAAUACCUAUAUUCAUGACCAUAUAUCUUAAAAUGUUCAUUCAACCUUUUCAAAGUCUUCACAUUUUUGUAUGUGACCACAAUGUUCAAAACAUUGAAUAUUCUGCAAUUAAAAAUAAAUAUUAUAUGAAUAUUUCAUUUUUAAUAUAUAAUAUAAACUAAAAAUAAAUGACUUACGAGUUAAAUUUAUUUAAGCUUCCAAAGAAAUGUGUAAAAGAGCUUCCAUAUUCUUGUAAUGACAACCGUCGAUGAGCACACAAAUCAGAGAAAAAAUCAUCUAAUAUUGGUAUAAAAUCAUCUGUAUCAUUUGAGAUAAAUUCUAAUUUAAAAAAUCAAACUAUCAAAAUCAAACUAUAAUGAAACUAUAAAAUAAAAAAUAUACCUUUAAAUUUUAAAUUCAUUGUUGACGAUAACGUUGUAAUAUAAAAAGUCCCUUUUUGACGAAAAUAGAAUUUGUUGUAAGCUUAAUCGGGAACAUUUCAUUACUUUCAGAGUGAGAUAAUCCAUUGAAAAUAUUUCUAUAUAAAAAAGAUCAAUUAAAAAAAAUUAACGUUAUAUAAAAUUAUGUAAUAAAAUACCUUAAUAUUUCACUCAAUGCGUUAUAAUAUGCAUCUUUUACUUCUUUCAGCUCUUCUAUAUAUCUGUAUAGGGUUAUUGUUUUUGGAUAUAUAACAUAAGUAAUACAUUUAUGCACGAAUGUAUCAAAUACUAAUAGGCAGUUUUUCAUAUAAAAAAAUUGUUCAGAAGUAGAUAUUUUUAUACCAUCGAUAUUUUUUAAUAUAUAUCCCUGAAAUACUCCGACUUCCGCAUUUUCAGUUAUAAGAAGAGUUGAAUAAACAUAAGCUGAAGCUGUUUGACAUAAAUACAUGGCGUUAACCUAAAUAUAGAUUUAAAUAUGGAAAUAAUAAUAAAUAUAUAAAAUAACUAAAAAAAUCUAUUUUUUUAUUUUUUUUGAGAAAUUAAAACUUUCAUUACUGAAAAGAGGUUGAGUAUGGCCCAAGAUUACAGAAUAAUAUAGGGCAAUGCAAGUACAGUAAAUGUAAAAAUAUUGUCCAUCUCUUAUGCAGCUAUGAUCCUGACUAACUGGCCAAGGAUUGAAGCUUCAAGAGGUUGGACUCCCAUGAGCGUAUAGCUUGUAUUUCAAUCUGUGAAAGAUUGUGCUUUUUAUAAGAUGUAGAAUCAUAUGUAAUGCUCGCAUCCUUUAUAAUUUCUCUGCUGACAAUUUCUGGAGGCCUUAGGGUGUGUUGUUUUAAUCUUCUAUUCCUUUCACACCAUAUGUGCCAGGAAAGAGAUGCUAGCAUAGUCCAGUGUACCCCCAAACAACUGGACUUGUGGGUGAAUUUUUGUAUUGUUUUCAUAAUAUCCCAUAUCCUAAUAUCUAUUGUGGGAGGUGGGGAAUUUUACCCAUUAAGUGUCCAAACAACAUUGUUAAACCAGCUAGUGGUCUCUAGUGUAAUGACAGUUAAAGUAUAGGUGUUGUAAUGUUUCUUCCUCAUUUCCACAUAGUGGGCAGGACGUAUUUAUGUUGAGUCCCCAGCUUUGCAGUCUAGUUAAAGUGUUCAAACUCUUGACCUUAAUUCUCCACAAGAGCAUAAAAAAUUUUGGAGGCUUUUUGGCCCAGAUCCCUAGAUUUAUCUCUUGUAAGAUGCCUUUGGGCCUUAAUGUUUCUGAGUGCAUGGAGGAGGCAAUUUGUGUGACCCUAUAGUUACUCAAGCAGUUUAUACAUUUCCUUAUUGUUUCCUUAUUAGCUAGUAUAGUUUUCCACAUGUGUGAGUCCAGAGUAGGCCUACACUCUAUCUCCCCAAUGCUUCUUCCUUUGAUGUACCUAAUUUUUACCCAAUCUGCUAGUAUGGAGUUAUUAGGACUCCACAUCCUCUCUGUUUUUUUAACCAAAGCUGCAGCAUUAGUUGCAAAGAAAUCCCUGGCCCCUAUUCCGCCUUCGCUCUUUGGGAGUGCCAUUUUUGCCCAACUACUCCCUCUUCUCCCGUCCCAAAUGAAAUUGUAAGCUAGGCUCUGGAUCUUUUUAAUGACUGUGCAUGGCAAUGUGGUUCGGUUUACCCAGUAUUGAAACUUACCUUGUAGGACCCAAUUUACUAAUUGGGUUCUGCCUACGUAAGACAGACAUCUCCCUUUCCAUCUGGCUAACAUUUUUUCUAUUGGAUUUAUUAACUUCCAACAUGUCGCGUGAGAUUUCUUUCUUCCUGUUAUUGGGAGACCAAGAUAGUUGAUAGGGAAGGGUUUAGUUGGAAAGUUGAGAAUGUUAUGCAGAUAAUGAUCAUUCAUGCAUACUUUUGAGUAGGUUGCCGAGCUCUUCUCCUGAUUAAUCUCGAGGCCUGAGAAUUUGGAAAAAGUCUCUAGGAUUUUCUUGAUUGUUUCUAAAGACUUGGGAUUUGCUUUUGAGAAGAUCAACACAUUAUCCGCGUACAUGAGAUGCGAGAUGGAAACCACUCCAUUCACGAUAUAAGUAUCCAUCCUUUUAUCUUUGAUCUCUCUCUAUUAGUCUACUAAGAUUAUCCAUUAUCAGGUCGAAUAAGAUAAGAGACAAUGGAUCCCCCUGCCUGAUUCCUCUAAAGUUAGUGAAGGAGGGAGUGGGAGAUCCCUCCACCAGUACCGAAAAGGAGGCUGUGGAUAUACAGUUAUGUACCAAUUUGCACAACAGAGGGUUGAAUCCCAUUGUGUCAAGGGUGUGUGUGAUUGCUUGCCAUUUCACUGUAGAGGGUUGAAUCCCAUUGUGUCAAGGGUGUGUGUGAUUGCUUGCCAUUUCACUGUAUCGAAUGCACCAUCUCGUCUGCCAAGAUAAUGUUAUCUGAGAUGCUUCUUCCUGCUAUGAAAGUUGUUUGGUGAUGAGAUAUUAACUCGGAAGAGACCUUGGAGAUCCUAUCAGCCAAGAUUUUGGUGAGAAGUUUAUAAAUUAAGUUGACACAGGAGAUUGGCCUAAAAUCCGAUAAUUCGGUAGUUGUGGGUUUUUUUGGGAUAAGAGUGAUAAAUGUGUGAUUAAUUGACUUCAAUAUGGGUUUGCCGCUGAAGAACUCUCUGACACAAGCUAGGAUUGUUUGUUUUAGUUCCGGCCAGAGAGCUUUGAAGAAACCCACUGUGAAACCAUCAGGUCCUGGGGAUUUCCCCAUUUGAAAUGCGAACAAGGUGGAUUUGACUUCCUCUUCUGUGGGUUGUUGAGUCAACCAUAUGUUCAUAUCUUGAGAUACAAUCCUAGGGAAAAUAACGGGAGAUGGUAUAUCUGGGAAGGGAGAAGUCUUGUAGAUAUCCUUAAAGUAAUCCACACUCCUUUUUUCUAAUUGGGCUCUUGAGAUGACUACCCUACCCUUUCCAUUUAUUAAUUUUAGAGUUGAGUUCUUUGCCUUAUCUUUGUAGUAAGACUAAAGAACUUAGUGUUUGAGUCUCCUAAUCUAAGCCAGCUGACCUUGCUCCUUUGUUUUUGGUUAGCCUCCUUUAUUUUGAGUUUAUUGACUAACUCCUCCUGCUUCUUUUUGACCUCUUCUUGGAUAGAAGGGACUAUUGGGCUAGUGUUUAGUUGCUUCACCAAGGAAUCAAGUUCCUCCUUAGUGGUUGUGAUCUGUUUUGCAUCACUACCUUUGGUCGCCGUCCAUUCCUUUGCGAGUAUUUUGACCUCCUUUAAUUUCUGUUGUAGGCAAUAUAGCCCAUUGCCGCAAAUUGGUUUAGCUAGUCCUCUCCUGGCUAGAUCGAGAAACUCUUGCUCCUUCAACCACGAAUCGAACAAUCUGAAAGGCUUUGGUUUCUGUGCUAUUUGCGCAAUUGAGAUAAGCAUUGCAGCAUGGUCGUUAUGCGAGCCAUUCCAAAACUCUACCCUUAUCUCUGGAAAGAGUGAAAUCUAAUCUUGAUUCGAGAAUGCUCUAUCCAGUCUAGAUUGUACAAACCUAUCCCCUGCCUAUCCCCUGCCUGCUUAUUAUUCCAUGUAAAUUCCCCCUAUUGAGGGGACCUCGAUUAACUCUGCUAGGUCGGUAGCUUCAAUGAAUUCAGAAGGCUCUCCAUGAACAUAAACCCCAGCCCCUGGUCCUCUCCUUUCCUCUGGGUUCUUAUUUCAUUGAAAUCACCCAGCACUAACCUCUGGAGUUCUCCUUUCCUCUGGAGAUGAUAUUAGGUUGGAUGUUCUUAACUGUGUUCCACAACGGUCUCCUAGCUUCCCUUGUGUUGUUUGCAUAUACUACGUAGAUAAAGAACACCAAUCCACCCUCGUUGUAUACCUUAGCAUGAAGUAUUUGCCUAUCCAACAAGAUUGGAACCACCUUCCAAUGGUCUUUUUUCCAUAAAAUCCAGAUUGAGUCUGAACAUUCUUGGUCAUGUGGGAUGUUGUUUGAAAUUACCUCUCACUCCUCCGAAAAAUUGUCUCUUACUGUUUGGAAUUGUUUGGUUUAAACUCUAGUCUCUAAUAGCGCUACUAUGUCUAAGUUCUUUUUAAGCAUCACAUUUUUUACUUCAUUCUGGAUUAGAGGGGAGUUAAGCCCUCUAACAUUCCAGGUCAUUAGCGCCAUUGUUUGGGACUAAUGACCUAGCGGUGAUGGGAUGGCUUAGUCUAGUUAAUUGCCCGGGUGGCCUUUGCCACCUCUGCAAUUGGGGAAGAUUUUUUGCUCGAUGAAGCAUUCGAAGAGUUGGCUUAGACACUAAGACAUUACAUUACAACACCUAAGGCAUUACAAUCAUGUUUAUAUUUCUUUGAUGGACAAGAUCCUAUCAAAGAAACCCCCGUUUGUUGAUAUCAAACGUCUACCAAAGUAUCCCAUCAAGAGGAAGCCUUCUUUGAGCAAUGUUGGUUCGUCAUCUUCUAGAACCAAAAAAAUCAUAUCGUACGGGAAAAUUAAAGUUGAGUCUUUUAGGUUUUGAAGAGGGUCAAACAUUUGAAGAUAGAGUGAGGUCAAGAAAGACCGAGGAAAAUCGAUAAAGGAUCGUUGCUGAACAUUAUAAAGUUCAAGAUAAAACAAAAUUGUCGUUGAUUGCGGUGCGAAGUUUUUCAUCACUAGUGGUGUUGCGUUCAAUUUAACCAGAAACAUGGAAUUGCAGGAAAUUUAUCAAUCUUUUAGACAAUCUGAAUUUUGACUACAUUAAAUGACAUUAAGGUUUUAGCAAAAGUUAUUAGACGUUACGGUCUGAGCUACAUUAUACCCUCGCCUUAUUUUCGGAUCUCUUUUGGAGAAAAAAGUUCAGAAUAUUUACAUGAGAUUAUCUAUAAUCGGACAUUUCUGUCGUGUAGUGUGACUGCCCAGAAUUCUUCUUCUUAUUGCACUAUUCUAUUUUUUCUAUUUAUCUGAAUAUAAUUCAUUAAUCAAACAAAUAAGUAUGACUAUUUACUAGUCACUAUUAAUAAAAAUAAUGAUAUUUAACGGAUUUCUUGCUCUACAUUCGAAGAUUAACUACCACACACAUCCGGUUAGACUUCCCUUGUUGGAAUCCACUAAAACCGAGCUGGGGUUAGCAUCUGCAAUUGAGGAGACACAAUUGCAGAGAGAUAUGGCACUGCUAACAACUCAAGUAGUAGUGAAUUGAGUGGAUUGGUUUUUCCGACAAAAAGAUACGAUGUUAAAUAGCCUCACCUGGGUUUUUUUCACCUUCCCACUAUUAAAGAUCAUCACAAUAGAUGAUUAUCAACAUAUAUUGGACAAACAUGAAAUAUCUCUUCCCUAUCAACAGAUGAUCGUAGAUAGAGAUAAACAACUUCAUAGUUAAGGAAUGUAACAUAAUAUAACAAGAUGGAAGGAACCAAAGGUCUUCGACAGAAUGUAACUAUCUAUAAACAUAAGGGAAUGAGAAAAAAAAAAAUAGUAAUCAGUUUUACCACCAUAUAUCAUCACUAUCAUUCAUAUCUUGGUGCGGACUUAGGUACGAGGACAUAUCCUUGAAGAUAAUGGGAAUGAGAAACUCGAACGACAAUUAGAUUAACAAAAAAGAAGACAUUUUUUUCACUAUUUUAGAGAAUAUCUAUGAAAAUGUCCAUUAAAAUUUCAAAAUAAAUGUGGAAAAAUGAAAUGACAAUAAAUAAAUAAAUAAAUAAAAGUUACCUUUUUAAUUUUAAUGUUUCCGUAAAAUAUCAACAAAUGAUGGUUGAACAAAAUUUGAUCUGUACAUGACAGAAGGAAGUUUAUCAAGAAAAAAUUAAAAAAGAAACACUGAAACACCAAAUCCUAAAUGAAUAAAAUAGGAAAAUCUCCAUCAAAUCUCUUUCUUUAAGUAAAUAUAUAUCUAUUUCUUGAAUAUAUAAAUUGAUAUUAUUAUAACUAUUUAGAUCUCUUCUCUCCUGAAAAUCCAGAGGUAAUUCCAGAUCUACGUCUAACCCCAACUCCCAAACUCUAACAUUUGAAAAAGGCAUCGAUUAGAAAAAUAAUUAAAAGAGGGGAAGAUCAGUGUCGGUGGAAAAUGCAGCAGCAGUAAUAAAAUUAAAUACAGAGACACGAUAUGGGAAAGAUGAAUAUCGGUAAUAAAAUUAAGAACAGAUCUGAUUUGACCUUUGAAUUUAUGGCAUCGGUGGUGUAUCGACGGAUUUGAGAUCUACAAAACCCUCCUCCUCUGCUUGAGUUGUGCAUUUUCCUAGUCUAGAUGGAGAAGUUGUGAAGAGUGAAAAGUGGGUUUUAUCAUAUAUUAGGGUUUUGAGACGUACAGGUUGGAUGAUAAUAAUAAACUUUUGGUGUUGGGACGGACGGGUUUUAUUAUAAGAUAAAUCCACUGGGCUUGGGCAUUCGUGAGUUUGGAAAUUUGAACUAUUGUGGGAUUUUUUUUUUCUUAUGAUAAUAAACAUUGAAUAUGGGCUUAUUCUUUUCUUUUAACUAAAAGGUUUAAAAAAAAUAAAAUCAAAUCUAAAUCCGUCUUCUCCUCUAUACUCCCUUCUACCUCCUCCUUUCCACUUCUCAUCGACUGUGAAGCCUCCAAGUUAUCCUCCGUAUCCCACUCCGACCGCCUCCUUCUCAAUCUACUUCUUACCAGCUCGAAACAUUUAUUCCGUCUGUAGUAGUUUUAUCAGUAUCGUUUGGUUAUUAUCCUCUAAUCUCCUGCGAAAAUACCAGUUUGUCUUAAUUCUCCAAUACCGAUCAAGUUUCUUCUCAGAUUUUGGUAAGUUUAUUUCUCCGAUACCAAUAUCGCUUUGUAAGUCUAUUCGCAGGUAAUCUCGGAUUUUCUUCAUUUUUUUGUUUAAAAUUUGUACUCUUCCUCCGAUAUUUAUACUCCCUUUAUUUUUCCACAGUCUCCAUUUCUCUGGUUCUUAAUCCUUCGUCUUGGUCAGUAGAGCGUAUCUAAUCUGUAUUUUCAUUUAGGUCAAUGGAUUUAAUUCCAGUAUAUCAUCAUCCUCGGGCUGAACAUUGUAUUCCAGAUGCCGAUCAAAGCAAAUCGAUGGAUUUGAUUCUGUCACCUCCCUUGCAUGCCGAUUUCAUGUUACUCAAUUCGAUAAAACUUUUCGGACAUAAAAUUGGACAUGUUAUGGGGUCCUCAUCGGUUUGUUCGGGAAGUACUUCGGCUAUUGAGCAAUCUUCAUUAGCGACUUCCUCUCCUUCCUACUAGAUUGCGAAAACACAGACAGAUUUCGAGAUCGACGACUGAUUUUGUUUUUGAAGUUAUCGACUUGUCCGGUAUGGAUUUAUUUAUUUUUUAAUUUUUUUUGUUACAAACUAUCCAUCUCAGUUUUAUUUAAUUUUUUUAUGCACCUAUUGUUUUUAUGAAAUUUGUAUUUUUGAAUCCCUAAUUAUUUGUAUUCUGAUGUAUGAAAUCAAUAAUUAUUUUUGAACAUUUUAUACGAGUUUUAGUGAUUCUGCAAAGUUAAACAUAUUUUUAUAAUUUUAUCUUACGACAAAGAAUUAAGAGAUAGAAUUUGAUGUCGUUUGAAAAUCGGUGUUGUUAUCUCACACAAAUUUCUCAAAGGGUAUUCCCUAAUCUUUGUCUUCGUGGCGUUGGGAAUAGUAAGUAUCGUAUGGUUUCUUAUCCUUUAUUUUCUUAUUUAUUUGUUAAAUUACAAUGAAUUUUAUUUUAAAUAACAAUUUUUAUUAUUUAUGUUUAUUUUUAUUAAUCGAUUUUUAAUUCUCUAUUAUCACAGCACAUUGGUUAGUUCAAUUGCGUUGUUGUUUUUCUGGUUAUCUAUCGACACUUAACGAUGUCCUUGACAUUCUACCUCCUUCAUUUUUUCCGAAAAUUAAGUCGUUCGAUUUUGAUCAUUUUCUUCUUCAAUCAGUUGAAUUAAGUUUGAAUUCGUAUCAUCUACAUGAUAUCGUUGGUAGAUAUAUAUAUUGCUAAUUAUAAAUUUCUCAUAAAAGAUAAAAUAUUAAGGGUUACACCGAAAGACAUAGGGUAUAUUUUCGGUCUACCAUUUUCCGGUGCGAAAAUUCAGGUGGGUAGGUGUGAUUCUAUCAAUUAUUCUACUUCUUUCUGACAUAAGUACUUCAAUGUAUGUCAAACACGUCAUUAGGUAAUUUUCAAACUCCUUUUUAUUUUUUAAUUUAAAUAAUCUUUAUAUUUUAAAUUGAAAAUUGUAAUAAAUAUUAAUCUUAUUAUACAUGCGUUAUUCUUUAUAGUGCUUUUAGUAAAGGAAGCAUUUAAAUCUAUCGUCCUCUCUGUUAAUUUUGAAGAAGAAAAUUUAAAGGAUUAUUAAAGGGAAAUCAGUUACUUAAUUACACUUAGUUAGUUAGCUAAUCUAGUUAGAAGUCUGUUACACAAAGUCCUAUAUAAUUAAGGACAUGAUAUCAUUAGUAAUAAUCAUCAAGUUUACAACACAAAUCUAUUUCUCUAGUUUGUGAUAUGUUGACACUUGUUCAAAUGAACCCUCUGUCGUGGGGCUCACGGGUAGCAUCCGGGGCUCUGAGUUCACCCAAAGUUCACAAUGUGCGAACCCAGUAGGGUUACCAUUCUUUCAUAGAAGGGGAACUCAGCCAUUCUAUAUCUAUCCCUGUCCAACUCGGUGGCAGGGGGUGGAGUCUUAGCUCCAUUAGAUGGGUCACGGACGUGGCCCCCGCCAACAGUAUGAGUCUCGCCACGAUCUAGAAUAAACUCUUGUUCAUAAUUCACAAGUGAUUCAGGGUUUGGUUUCACAAUGCGAAGUGGAACAUCAAACCUUUCAGCUUGAAUCGCCGAUUCAGGAUCCGGAAUCGUCGAUUUGUAGUUAAUAAUUGUCGAUUCAGGACCAAGGUCUCGGCGAUUCCUUCUCUUGAAGGUGGUGUUCAAUUCAAUGGUGGGGACAUCCUUGGCCACCUCAGCAAUCGACGAUUUCUUCUGGGAAAUCGAAGGAUCUCACCCACCUCGGCGAGUGAUUCAGCCCCGGUGAAAUCGAAGGAUCGCUACAACCUUGAUGAGGAUCAAAGUCGCUCUGUCGCUAUGGCCAGAGUUGGACUACAAAAUUUUAUCGCUUUGGCUUUAAUGGAUCCUGGAUCAUUUUGUUGCUAUGGCCUUAAUGAUCCAUUCGACCUUUCUUGGGGGGAGGGAUACUGGCGAUACACGCCUGAUCACAUGCUCUCUUUAGGGGUGAGUACUGCUGAUACAUGAAUGUAACGCCAGUCACUCCCAUCAAUGUCCCUCAGCAAGGACUAGGGUUCUGUUUGCUUUAUACCGAACUCCCGAAAGGCUCCCACGAUUGCGGAACAAUGGUCUUCGUCAAGUAACCGAGUUGAACUAGUGAAUCACUGACUUGGGGCUGCCAAAUCGCCGAUUCCAGUGGUAAAUCGCCGAGUUGAGGCCGAGAUCACCAGCACUGGCAGGCUUCCGAUCUCGCCCCUCUGAACUCGCCGACUCAGCAACUCCAAUCGCCGAUUCACCCCCCAAUCGCCGAUCUCACGAUUGUUACUCGUCGCCAGCUCGCGUCAUUAAUGGCGUGCCAUUAAUGCCUGGCGCGAUCACCGUCGCGGAUUACGUCAGGAAGGCCCUAUAAAAGGGGUCCUCUGAACACAAUUCAAGGCAUCAGAUCCAUUCCAAUCCAGAGAAGAGCAGGGAGCAAAUCGUCGAUUAUACUGAUCUAUUAGUCAUUAUCAAUGCUUUAGAUAGAUGCCCAUCUGAAGCUGUUAAUACUAAGAUUCUGAACUUCUUUGUUGAUCUACUUUCUGGUGAUUUUUCAACAUGUCUUUAUAAUUCCAUUAGAAAAUAUUCCAUUAGAAAUGGCACACGGACGGAGUCGUAAACGAACAAACGACGGACGAUCACAAUCUGCAAGAAUAGAUCAAGACAUCGUAGAGGACCGCUUCGAUGAAGAACAUCGAAGAAAAUGGACAAAAAGAUUGAGACAACCGGAUGCACCAACUCCCACCACUAUUCUUAAGAGCGGGUGAGUAUUUUCAUUAUAAUUCAUUAUAUUUUAUUAUUUAAUUUGAUUGUUUUUUAUAGGACUUUUACAAACAAUGUAAGAAGUCAAAUAGGAAUAUUAGUAAAAGGUAAUAUAACGUCACCUUUAACUAAAUGGACUUCUUGGAAAGAAGAGGAAAAGGAAAAUAUUUUCGUCAAAUUUCUGGUAUGAUUUAUUUAUUUAUUUGUCAUUUUUUCCAUGUCAUUUUUUCCAUAUGUAAUGUUUUUGUCUUUAUGUAGUGCUAUUUCUCAUUUGAGGACAUUCAAUUGGCUCGUGAAUGUUUUGAUAAUUAUGUACAACUAAAUUAUACAUGUUGGUUGUAUAAAGCGAGACAAGAGGCAAAGAAAUUGGCAAAAGUUGACACACUAACCAGAUCUUGCGCUAGAUUUCCACCGAUAUACCUUUCUGCGGAAGUAUGGAGUGAAAUGAUAGAAAUUUGGUUAAAAGAAGAUUGGAAGAAAAGAUCCGAAAAAGCAUCAGAAAAUAGGACAAACAAUCCAGAUUACAUGCCAUACACGGGUGGAUCUUGUUCAGUUGCGGCCACUCAUGAAAGAAUGGUAAAAAAACAUUUCUUUCAUAUAUUUUACAUUUAUCAUUCUAAUUUUUUUGAGUAUAACAAUCAGAAUGAAGAAGCUGGUUAUGAAGUCGGUCACUGUGAGGUUUAUAAGAAAACACAUAGUUUGGCUAAAACAAACGACUGGGCCCAUCCAAAGGGAGGAUGCUUCAUUGUAAGAAAAUUCGUUAGAAAUGCUUUGUUUUAAGAUAUUUAAGUCAUAUUUUUUAUUUAUUAUUGAUUUUCAUUUUUAUAGGCUGACUAUAAUGAGCUUCAAAGAAAUGCUAUGGAAGCAGAAAAUUCUGAGAUCAACUCAUCAAAUGGAUCACACACACUCCCUGAUAAUUUAGAAUUAUGGGUCAAAGCUACUGACGGAAAAAAGAAAGGUCGUGUGCUUGGAACCAGAGCAAGUGAUCCAAUGCCAUUACCAAUUCCUGAUAAUAUGGCGACUUCACAGAACACGACGACGAAUUAUAUAGAAAUUCAACAACAAAAAAGUAAAGAAGACUUUGAUCGGGCAGUUCAAGAGGCCAUUAGAAAACAGAUGCCGGAUAUACUAAAGGAACUAAGGGAAGACUUACGUCGAGAGACGAUUGAGGUAAUUAACAUUUAUAUAUAAAUUAAUAUUCAUAUUUUUUUUGUAAUUUCAAUUUUUUUUUACAUUAGGGUCAGUCGAGCCAAGGACACAACACCAUAAUCACGCCUAUUAGAAGAGAUUCAAAUGUCGAAAAUAUUGGCAAGAGUCUAGGUAAAAGUCCGAGUAAAAGUGCGACGAAUAGCGUGAUAAACACCAACAGAUAGGUUCCUCUUCUUUUAUCUUUUGGUUUAGUUUUGAAUAACAUGAAUUGUAUGAAUGGUAUGUUUUAUUCUGAUGUAUGAAAUCAAUAAUUAUUUUUGAACAUUUUAUACGAGUGUUAGUGAUUCUGCAAUGUUAAACAUAUUUUUAUAAUUUUAUCUUACGACAAAGAAUUAAGAGAUAGAAUUUGAUGUCGUUUGAAAAUCGGUGCUGUUAUCUCACACAAAUUUCUCAAAAGGUAUUCCCUAAUCUUUGUCUUCGUGGCGUUGGGAAUAGUAAGUAUCGUAUGGUUUCUUAUCCUUUAUUUUCUUAUUUAUUUGUUAAAUUACAAUGAAUUUUAUUUUAAAUAACAAUUUUUAUUAUUUAUGUUUAUUUUUAUUACUCGUCCUUGUUAAUUCUCUAUUAUCACAGUACAUUGGUUAGUUCAAUUGCGUUGUUGUUUUUCUGGUUAUCUAUCGACACUUAACGAUGUCCUUGACAUUCUACCUCCUUCAUUUUUUUCGAAAAUUAAGUCGUUCGAUUUUUAUUACUCGCCAACUCAGCAACUCCAAUCGCCGAUUCACCCCCCAAUCGCCGAUCUCACGAUUGUUACUCGUUGCCAGCUCGCGUCAUUAAUGGCGUGCCAUUAAUGCCUGGCGCGAUCACCGUCGCGGAUUACGUCAGGAAGGCCCUAUAAAAGGGGUCCUCUGAACACAAUUCAAGGCAUCAGUUCCAUUCCAAUCCAGAGAAGAGCAGGGAGCAAAUCGUCGAUUAUACUGAUAUAAUCGUCGAUUCCUUCAGAAGAUUUGACGUAGAGCGCGCAUCGUGGACUCCAGAGCCUCUGACAUCACCUCGCACCACCACGAGCCCUAGUAAUAUUUCUCGUGCUUCAUCACCGUUUAUUUAAAAUAUUGAGAAUAUGAAUGCACUAUAUUCUACUUAUAUUUAGUCAAUUCAAAAGAAGCAUUAGAUUCAAAUAUAAUAUUAGGAUAGAAUUAAUGUAUGACGACCAACACAAACCAAAGCACCACGAUUUGCAAUACCUUGCCCAAAAAUAAUAAUUUUUAAUUCAAUAAAAUCUAACUAAAAUAAUUUAUAAGCUAGUAUGGAAGAUUUAAAUAAAAAUUCUCGAUUUCUCACCCAAGAGAAUACAUUGAUAUCAGUCGUUUCGUGACGACCCGUCAGUCUUCGUUCAUUUCUAGUACCAUAUUUGACAAUGUGUUCCUUGUGGCAUAAACCUAACUUCUCGAUGGUCUUCUCUAUCACAUCAUAGCCACCUUCUGAUCUCAAAGACCUUAUGUUAUAUAUACUAUAUAAUAAAGUUUAAUUAUAUACAAUAUAUAUGUAAAUUGACAAUUAAUAAAUGUUGCAAUUAAUAUGACUAAUUUAUAAAUAGAAUUGUAGAUAAUUAAUUAAUUACGAUGUAGUACUUAAUUAAUUAUGUGAUUAAAUGAUAAAAUAUGAUGACCAUAUGUGUUACUUCUAAAUGAAUGCAGAAGUAUAUAUGGAUGGGUGUGAUUAAUUUGAUAUCAUAUAUAAGAUAUGAUUAUAUAGCUAGAUAUUACUUGACAAUCUUUUUUAAUUAAUGAUAUUCAAAACUAGUUCAAGGCCUUUCUUUUAUUCAUGUAGAAACUAAUUAGGGUUAGGGUUAGAGUCAUGUAGAAACACCAUUCUAAUAUUCCUAGUCGUAUAUAUAUAUAUAUAGUGGGUUGUGGGCUCGCGCUAGGGUGCUCACACACACAAUUUUUUAGUAUUAUUUCUACUGAUAAUCGACCCCCUUCCUUGUUGCACUUGGGGAGGUAUUUAUAACCUAUAUCCUUGGGCCUACUGAGCCUAGCAGGCCUAUUUGGUCCGGGGUCCGGUGCCAACAAUAUAUAUUAAAAAGUUUGGAAAGUUUUAAUCUAAAAUAUAAUUAUUAAUGAAAGACACUUCAACUAACCGGAAUUGGUUUGGGAGCAAAAAUAAGGGUAACUCCUUCCAAUUCAGCAACCCUAGUGCCACCUCUUGAGUCUUAAGCAAACCCCUUCUCCCACUUCUGAUCUCCCCCCUUUCUCAAAAGAGAGGGGGGAGACAAGUUCUUUCCCUCUUCCCCCUUUCAUGCCUUUUUCUACCGUUCUCCCUCCCCGUUGUAUGUCGUCGUCUUAGAUUCUCACCCGCAACUCCCUAUCUCUCCAUUUCUUUUUGCCUCCUGAAGCUUAUUCGAUUCUUUCCCAUUUCUUUUAUGGUCGUCGUGAUUCCGUUGCUCCUUUUCAGGUUCAGAGGAGGGGAAGAGGGCUUCUCGCCACUUCUCCUUAUCGUCAUAUGGCCUCGCCCGCAGACUAAGAAGCUUUCUCGAUUCCGUUCUGAGUUGCUUUCAGAUUUAACCAAUUUUCUUCCCGUUUGAGGAUGGAAAAUUAGGGAUUUAAUGUAAAAGGGAAAUCAGGAAGUUAUAUCGUCGGAUGACAAAUGCAAUCUAGGAAAUGCAAUUUAGUUACGCAUACUCAUAAUAAUUUUGUUGUACUUACAUUUAAUAAUAUAAUACAUCCCAUAUCAAUCAAACUUAAUAUACACGGUAAAGACACUCCAUAGGGUAAAUUUUUGACAACGAAUAGUCCUUGAAUCACAUGAUUGACGAGCCAAAGGAUGUUGAGAUCGUCAAUACAUCCCUCUGAUGUUGGUGAUAUAGAGUUGUUGGUACCAUGGACCGCGGACCGCGGCCCAUGGACCGAACAAGGCCUGUCGGCGGCCCAGGCGAGUGGGCGGGCCCAACGCACGAGCCCACGAGGCCCGAGGUCGACGAUGGGAAGCUAUAAAUACCUCCCCUGGUCCAACAGGGGAGGGGGUUGAUAAUUCUUGGAGGAACACUUGUACUAAGUUGCGGUUGUGAGCUUACUCCGGCGAGCCCACACACCAACAGUGGUGAACCUGCAGNNNNNNNNNNNNNNNNNNNNNNNNNNNNNNNNNNNNNNNNNNNNNNNNNNNNNNNNNNNNNNNNNNNNNNNNNNNNNNNNNNNNNNNNNNNNNNNNNNNNAGUGUUGCUCUGGUUGGUGUGUGUCAAGUGGGAAUGACUUGAGGGUAGAGGUCCCCCAAGGACCCCUUUUAUAGGGUCCUGGGGGACGUUUCCCCAUUCAUUAGCGUGGGACCCACCCCAUUAAGGUAUCCUAUUAAGGAGUGCCUUAAUGACGUGGGCCCACUCAAGUAACGGCUGGGAGUCGGCGAUUCAGGUGUGGGAAUCGCCGAUCCAGAGGUUCAAUCGCCGACUCCCCAUGAGCCUAGUGACAGUCUACCAGAACUGUCCACGAGGCCUAGAGUCAGCGAUUCACCCCUGGAGUCGGCGACUUGGUAGUCCCAAUCGGCGACUCCCAGGUGCUGCCUUGAGUACUUGACGUAGACACUCCUUCCGAAUUCGUUAAACUCUCCGGGGGUCCGGCAUAAAGCGACGGAACCCUAGUCCUUGUCGAAGGGCGUUGCUGGGAGUGACUGACGUGAUCAGGCAUGUCUCACCAGUACUCCUUCCUGAAGAGAGCAUGGCAAAACACCCGUGUAGCCUCAGUCUCCCCCCCGAGCAAGGUAGUCCGCAUCAAGGCAGGAAGCGACAAGAUGGGAUUGAGUCAUUGUGCUCACAGCGACACUAAUGACUCCGCGUGGUCCAUGCACUAUCAGAUGGACUGAUUCACUAUCAGAAUCUAGUUCCAGGCCAAUGGAACUACAUGUUUAUAGUCCUACUCUAAUCAAGAGCGACUUUUGCUGUGUGGAUUCUGGCCGAAGCGACAGAAUGCGUGGAUUCACUAUUAGAAUCUGAUUCUGGCCGAAGCAACAGAAUGCGUGGAUUCGUUAUCCGAAUCGGGUUCUGGCCGAAGCGACAGAUCGCGUGGAUUCAUUAUUAGAAUCUGAUUUUGGCCGAAGCGCGAGAAUCUAGUUCACUANNNNNNNNNNNNNNNNNNNNNNNNNNNNNNNNNNNNNNNNNNNNNNNNNNNNNNNNNNNNNNNNNNNNNNNNNNNNNNNNNNNNNNNNNNNNNNNNNNNNNNNNNNNNNNNNNNNNNNNNNNNNNNNNNNNNNNNNNNNNNNNNNNNNNNNNNNNNNNNNNNNNNNNNNNNNNNNNNNNNNNNNNNNNNNNNNNNNNNNNNNNNNNNNNNNNNNNNNNNNNNNNNNNNNNNNNUUGGAAGAUAUACGGGGAAUAUUUGUAAAAUCUCCAAAUAAGGAAAUUUUUCUCACAGUGCUGUGAGUUUUUGCCCGGAGUCGGCGACUACCCUGUGGAGUCGGCGACUUGGCGUGAUUCGGGGGAUUUGGAGAUCGAUUCUUGAUCUCAAAUUUUGUAAAUUUUGGGUUUUCUGGGGUUUUUUUGCAAUUUUCCCAAGGGCUAUAAAUAGUGGAGAGGUUUUCCCCAAAACCUCACAACACUCUUUUGCCUCUCUUGAUCGCCCAAACCUCCAGACCUUUGAAUCGCCGAUUCUACAGUUUUGAAACUUCGAAUCGCCGAUUCACCCAAUGUCUACCCCCGAUUCCCCUUUGUCUCCAUUGAAGGAAAACGAAACGUCAGCUUUCGCUUUCAUAGCUGAGAUGAUUGUGGACAACCUUGAUGAGGUGUUGAACACCGUUGAAUCGCCGAUUCCCUCUCCUGACAGAGAGGUUGAGUCGGCGAUUCCGGUCGUGCCACCUCAUGGAAUGGAGUUGAGUGCCACCGUGCACGAACUACUUGGCGCCUCGCCAGUGUCGGCGACUCCCCUUGUGGAGUCGGCGACUCAGUGCAGGGCCCUUGUAGUCGUACGGGAGCCUCUUGAGCUGGGGGAAAUUCCCAUGGCCUCUGUGUCGGCGACUCCCAUUGUGGAGUUGGCGACUCACGCAGGUCCUCUUCAAGCGAAGGGGGCAGGGCUCAGCUGCCAUUGGGUCGGCGACUGCUGGCCAUGCCUCGCCGAUUCCUGUCAUUGAAUCGGCGACUCGUGUGCUGGAGUCAACGACUCCCAUGUGUAUUGAUGAUUCUUCCCGCAUCGCACCGCACCAUUGGUCGUGAGCGCGGAAGGCCGAAUCGUGUCGGGACUGAACCCGAACCAAGGUCCUUCUCUGAAGAGAAAGAGAAGGCGCACCACCGGAAAGGGCAAAGUUCAUGUGCCCGAAGAGAAUGAAGGGGUCCCUCCUCCCUUGAAUAUAAACUCCGAGGAGACCUUGACUGUGGACCGUGGUGCUCAAAAUCCACGACGUAGAGCGGGCCGGCGCUCUGAGAGAACUCCGCCACCUCCCGUGGAUCUGAACGCUAGUCGAGACCCGGACCUCGACUUGAAUACGUACGUUGGAGCUUUGAACCCCUCUGGGUUCGCUCACUGUACAUGAAAUCGCCGCGAAUGGCGUACCAAGGUUGCUUCCUAUCGGCCGUUCUGGGGACGGCGAGUAUGAACAAGUGAUGACUCAUGCAACCUUGGAUGGGUCCGAUGGAGUGAAUCCCCCCUCCAAUCUGAAUGCGAGCGACGCUCGAUCACUGCUGUCAGGGAUUCAGAUAUCUGGUCAUCUGCGAUUCUGGAUGUCGCGAUACCAGCCGAUUAAUCUGCCACCCCCGGGAUUCCAGGCUAUCCCGAGUAUCUACUUCAAGCACUUCUCCGAGCUGCCAAUUCCGGAGAUCAUCAGUGAAGUGCUCUUGAGAUUUGAAGUGUCCCUGUCGCAGCUCCCGGCGGGAUUCUCUGUGAUCCUGCGAGGUUUCAUGAACAUCUGCUGGGGGCUCAAUGUUGCUGCGACGGCGAGCUUGUUUCUGUACUUCUAUAAGCUCACCAGAGAGAAGUCUGCAUCUGGUCGCUUUGGAUUCACGCGGCGACACUUUGACAAAAAUAUCGUCGACGAGCUCCCGACGAACUUCGGAUGCAACUGGAGAAAGAAGUUUAUCUUCAUAACUUCUGAAUUUCUUCCCGGGAGUCGGGAAAUGUGGAAUGACCCUAAGUACGAGGGAUAUCGAGGCCUCGGAUCGGAUAGCGCGUACGCUUACUGCAUACUCUGUGCCGCGCGGUGUUCCCUUUGUCCUUUGCCAAAGGGAAGACUUUACAUUUGAUGAUAUUGAGGAAGCUCGUGAGCCACCCACUGAGAAAGAGCUGGAAGGUGGGCAAAAGCGAUCAAUUCUAUACCACGAUGCUGCACCUCUCUAUAUGCGCAAGAGGUUCCACGAGGGCAAGCUGAUCAGAUUGCGAAAGAAGAAGACCUCUCGCAGCGAGCCUCGUCGGACCUUUGAGCAUGGGUCGAGCUCUCGCUCUGCACCACCACCUCCCAGGGGCUAUGUGCCUUACACUUCUGCCAGAGUGACACUUCCCGACUUUAUGGCUGAUGCCGAAACUCGAAGGGAAGCGAUGGCACUCCUCUUGGGUCAUCCUGGGACUUGGUGCAGGAAUGAACUACUGAAGCAUAUGAAUGCCGCGUGUUAUAUGGCACAUGCUUGUUAUCAUGGAGACUCUAUCCAUGACGUCGAGAAAAUUCAGGAAAAAUACAACCAACUCGACGCAAAGUUCAAGGAGAGCGAGAAGGCUCUCGAUAAGCUGAAGAAUGUGAGGUCCAGGAUGGAGAACCUCCGUGACAAUAUUCUGCCGAAGAAGGACAAGACCAUUGAGUCCAAGCAGAAGGAAAUAGACGAGUAUGUCACGAAGAUCUUGGCGCUUCGCAAAGAUCUGAAAGCUGCUAGCUCUGGCCGUGCUAAAGAUAUUGAAGACCUAAAGAGCCAACUAGCUAGUGAGAAAGGGCACGUGGCCUCGCUUGAGGCUACGAUAGCUGAGUUGAAGAAGCAAGCUGCUCAGAGCCAAAGCGAAACUACUGAGCUGAAAAGCGAGCUUGCAAGUGCGGAAGAAGAGGUUCUGUCUCUGAAGGAUGACAAUACCGCACUUACUGACAGAGCAGCUGGGUUGGAUUUGGAUGUACGCUACCAAUCCGACCAGCUUCAAGAGCUCAUCUUCUUUGGGCCGACAGUGUUUCCUGCUCUACCCCCCGACUACAUCACGGACAUAAUGGCGUGGGUAGAACAACAUCCUGAGGAGCUCGAGAAGAAUAAAGAGGCUCUCGACAAGAUGAAGGACGAAGCUGCACAAGAUUAGAUCUAAGUCCUUAACAUUUUGUAAUCUUUUUUGUUAUCUUUUUUGUAAUCUGAAAAUUUUAAUGAAAUUAAUCGCUUUUGCUUUUCUAUUCAAUUGUUCAUUUACUUUAUUCUUUUGAAUUGCAACUAAGACCCGAAACUAGAUUCGCGAGUCGUAAUUUAGCCGCUCUGGACGUAAAUUAGACUAACCCUAUCGCUAGCCACUCUGGGCGUAGAUUUGGUCGUACGAAUCGUAGCUUAGUCUACGGUUAAAUUCGCGAAAAUAAACUAAACUUUACAACUAAUAGUAAGUCGCAAUAUCGAUUAACAAAUUCGAAAGAUAACAAAUAUGUCGAAAGAUAACUAUCAAUCCUAAGACUCUAGAGUUGUAGUUUUGCUCCAGCCGAGGUGACGGAGCAACUUUUUAUCCCAUACCAAAGAUGUAACAAUGAGAUGGGGUGAAAAUUUAAAAAUGAUUACUAAUCUAUUAAGGCCGUAGCGACAUGAUAGAUUUUGAUUUGUGGUGGGUACUUAAAACCUCUUGUGGUUGGGUUCACUUGUACCUAUCAACUACCUAGGACUCUGCUUUUAGACCCUAAUGCGUGGUUGAACUCUGGCCAUGAUGACAGAGCAACUUUUUGGACCCAUAUCCGGGCUGAAGUGAUCAUAAUGUGUUUAAAGAUAAUUUUGAUCUAUUAAGGCAAUAGCGACAAAAUAGAUUCAUAAAGUGGGGUGCUAGCUAGAGUCGUAGGUAGAUGAUAAAUCUAAAUUUUAUUAAAAGAUGUGAUGGGGGUGAAACCCGACCAGUACUCCAAGACGCGCAAGCAAGCGCCAAGCGGGGAACUCCGCGGGAAACCGGACCGGAACUCAAGUGUGCAGAGCUCUGCUUCGCUAGGAAUCCUUUCGCUCCAAAUGACCUGCCUCUAAUGAGUGGGGGGUGCCCUCUAUUUAUAGGGGUUCUUAUGGGGGCAAUAUGGUCAUUUGGGCAGUAACCGCCUAACUGCCCAACUAAUCAGAUUGGGUCCAGGGGUCGACUUUCCAGAGAUCGACUUUCUGGGGGUCGACUUUUCCUGGUGACCGACUUUACUUAAAAGUCGAUCCCAGGGAAGUCGAUCCCAGGGAAGUCGAUCCUCAGGAAAGUCGAUCUUCCUAGGAUUCGACCUGGAACCUCCCCAACCCUAGAAUAGAUACCUCAACUCAUCUUAGGCUAUCCGGACUUCUAGUUGCUGGUAGGUUGUGACCGUGUUCGGGAUACUGUAUCACCAGUACUCCCCCCUCCUCUGCGUAUUAGAUACUUUGGGAUACGUCUUUUAGUACUAUGGUCUGUGUGUCGGACCCUGUACUAUCAGUAUUCCCCCCCUCUUUGCGUGCUGGGGUGUGGAUUUCCGGUGAUGUCCCUGGAUGUAAGAUCCUCUCUCACCAGUACUCCCCCCCCUCUCUACGCCUGCGAGGUUGUAUCUAUGCUUCCACGGAGGUUGUCACGCGCUCUUGCCAACUAUUGUCCGGUUUGUCCUAGCCGAAGCCUACUCCUUGCACACCUGUUCGGCCCGAUUCUCCCGCGGAACCCUGCUUGCCCACCUUGACUCCUUGCCUGCGCUAUCUUUGAGCAUUGUUUGGGUUCUCUUCCCUAUGGCGGGUUUUGAGAGUACCCGACCCCCUCCUUUUAUCCGCCUUUCUGCGAUAGGGGUUGAGUGUGCUUCCUCGUCUACCCACGUUCAUCCGUGGGUGAGGACUAUUGCCUGAAUACUUGCCCCCUCCUUUUGCUCGCCUUUCUGCGACUGAGGCUAAGUGCGACUCCUCGUCUACCUACGUUCAUCCGUAGGUGAGGAUUGUUACUUGAAUACUUGCCCCCUCCUUUUGCUCGCCUUUCUGCGACUGAGGCUAAGUACGACUCCUUGUCUACCUACGUUCAUCCGUGGGUGAGGAUUGGUACUUGAAUACUUGUACCCUCCUUUUGCUCGCCUUUCUGCGACUGAGGCUAGGCGUAACUCCUCGCCUACCUACGUUCAUCCGUAGGUGAGGAUUUUUACUUGAAUACUUGCCCCCUCCUUUUGCUCGCCUUUUUGCGACUGAGGCUGAGUGUGAUUCCUCGUCUACCUACGUUCAUCCGUAGGUGAGGAUUGUUACUUGAAUACUUGCCCCCUCCUUUUGCUCGCCUUUCUGCGACUGAGGCUAGGCGUGACUCCUCGUCUACCUACAUUUAUCCGUAGGUGAGGAUUUUUACUUGAAUACUUGCCCCCUCCUUUUGCUCGCCUUUUUGCGACUGAGGCUUUUGUGUGAUNNNNNNNNNNNNNNNNNNNNNNNNNNNNNNNNNNNNNNNNNNNNNNNNNNNNNNNNNNNNNNNNNNNNNNNNNNNNNNNNNNNNNNNNNNNNNNNNNNNNCCUUUUGCUCGCCUUUCUGCGACUGAGGCUAGGCGUGACUCCUCGUCUACCUACGCUCAUCCGUAGGUGAGGAUUGUUGUUGAGUACGUCCCUCGUCUAACCUACGUUCUUCCGUAGGUGAGGUUUACUCUUGGGUACUUGCCCCUCUGUCUACAUUUUUAUAAAACGGGGUGUGUCUUUAGCCGAUGUAUCCCCCGUCUAACCUACGUUCUUCCGUAGGUGGGGCUUACUUUUGCCGAUGUGUUCCCCAUCUAACCUACUUUCUUCCGUAGGUGGGGUUCACUUUUGAGUACAUCCCUCGUCUAACACUACGUUUCCGUAGGUGAGGUUCACCCUUUAGCUGACGUGUCCCCCGUCUAACCUGCGUUCUUCCGUAGGUGGGGUUCACUUUUGAGUACGUCCCUCGUCUAACACUACGUUUCCGUAGGUGAGGUUCACUCUUGCUGAUGUGUUCCCCGUCUAACCUACGUUCUUCCGUAGGUGGGGUUCGCUUUUGAGUACAUCCCUCGUUUAAUACUACGUUUCCGUAGGUGAGNNNNNNNNNNNNNNNNNNNNNNNNNNNNNNNNNNNNNNNNNNNNNNNNNNNNNNNNNNNNNNNNNNNNNNNNNNNNNNNNNNNNNNNNNNNNNNNNNNNNUAUAGCCGUUUAUAGGCUCAGUUCAUUAUGUUGGUAUAUUUGUGUCCACACGUUCUCCAUGUCGGUCCCAAUUAGUGUAAUCACUCAUAAAACCGGACUUGUAAAGAUUUACUGUCAUUAUAUCUCUAACUUCCUUAUUUAAACAACAACAACUACUACAAGGGCAUUUAAUUUUUCCAUCUUCACGAGUCAUAAUUGACUCUGAGAAUGCAAAGUUUAGAAACCGCUCGACACCAUUGAGAAAUGAAUCGGUAAUUUGAUUUUUCUCAUCUAGUCGGUUGUACAUCCAAUUUCGAUCAUUGCCGGUCAUUCUAUAAAAUAAUUGAAACAUGCAAAAAUGAGUUGCAUGUCCGCAUGAGUUUCAUGAAAAAUAUAUCAUGAAAAAUAAAAAAAUAAAUCAUAAUAAGAAAGGCUUUGCAGGCUCAGCUUGGCUCAGUUCAGCUCGGCUCAGCUAGGGCUUGUCAAGCUCAGCUUGGCUCGGCUCGGCUAGGGCUUGUCAGGCUCAGCUUGGCUCGGCUCAGCUCGGCUCAGCUAGGGCUUGUCAGGCUCCGCUUGGCUCGGCUCAGCUCGGAAAAUAAUCUAAACACUACGAUUAAAUUUUUACAGACUGAUAAUGGAGGCCGGGGGCAUAUGUUAGUAAUGAGUUUAAAUAAUUCUAAGGAGAAAAUGGAAUUAGCCAUAUUUUCUAAUGCCCUCAUACUCAUGAGAAGGUAGCAAUUUCUUAAAUAAUGGAAGUGUCCUGUUUUUGUUUUUUGUUUUUUUACCCUAUCACUAUAUCAGUAAAUAGAUGAAUGUAAUGCAUGUUUGAAUGAUAACAUAAUCAAAUCAGAAUAACAUCAAUCGUGAUAUUCAUUCAUAAAAAUAGAAAUAGAGAAUUGGGUCAAAUAAGAAUUUUACUUUAUUUUAGCAUCACAAUUCUUUAAUGGAAAAUAUUACUGAUAUUCUGACAAUAAUAAUCGAAUUUAAAUUGAUGAAGCAUAUAUAUUCAUAAAAUUAUACCAUUGCUAGGUUUAAGUUAUACCUCAAGAUGUUUAUCUAGUCCUCGAUAAUGUUAGGAUGGUUCUUGUUUGGAAAAAUAUCUUUGUAGACAUGUAUCCAUAUUAAAAGAAGAACAUAGUUACAAUAAUUCAUUUAGUAAUUUAGUUGAUGCUUCAAUUGAACAUUGGCACUUGGAUAUAGUAUACAAGCGAUUUUAGGUUGUUUCAAAUAACAACUGAUUCGUGAAACCAACUGAACUAACAAAAUUCUCCAUUUGUUUUGAACUGAAUUUUGAUCAAAUAUGAAGUCCAUUUGUUUUAGUUUAAGUGUUCUCAAUUCUACUAUAUCCUUGUUCUAAUUUAGAAAUUGGGUAGUCUCUUCAAGUUCUCAAUAUCAACAAUAUCAAUAUCAACAUUUCAAGGCUGCAUGAAUGUCAUUCCUUGAUUCUGUUUGCUCUACAGACACAUAUAGAUUGUUUUUAAAUUUCACCUGCCCUUCUAUCUUUAGCCAGAGGAUCAGGAGGGUGCUGAGUUUUGAUCUGAAGCCAAAUAGGCUGUUGACAACUUGGCAUCUAACUAGGAUGAAGUUCUAUUGCCAGACACUACGAAGCAUCCAUAUAUUGAUGAUCUUUCUGUGAAUUAAAAAUUUUGUCCAAACUCCAGAUUCAAGUUGAGCUCUCUCAGAAAUGCUUCGUCAUAGGGUAUCUCUCUGAACUCUGAAGCACCUUCCUCUCCUACAUAUAUUCCAGGAAGAUGUACACAUCCCAUUGGUCACCAACCUAUGGAAUCUUUUAAACAAGUGUAAUGUUCCUGAUAUCACUGAGUCACAUGGUUUAAAAUAUGCACAUGCAUGCUUACACCCUUAGGCACAGAAGGAUUCAUGCUUUUCCCACAUCUCAACUAAUCAGAUAGGCAGAUUCGGUUUUAGAUUCGUCUGAUUAACCAAAUAUUACUUAGGUAAAAAGAAAAAUGGAUGAUUUUUUCCAUCUGUUUUUCUUAUUCACAGGAAUAUAAGGUUUCCAAAUUCUCUGAAGUCUGUUCAGACUUUUGGAAAGCUUCUUUUACAAAUUACUAAUAGUAAUAUAAGUCUAAUAUAUUUAAUCAUAAUUUAAUAGUAUUAAAAACUAAAAAGUUUGUGAUCAUGUCAUAUAAAAAAAUACAUGUGGCGCAUUAGGCAUGCUUGUUCCCCAAGAUAUCAUAAGGUGCAUGGUGCUAGCAUACUGCACCUUAGCACAUUUUAAACCUUGCUGAGAUCUGAUCCUCCUUUAUUGACUGAUCUUCCAAGGAAUGAAAUCCCCCCUUCCCCAUAGAAAAUGCAAAUUAAUUACCUGAUCUUAUUUAUCACUUUAGGGAUUUUCUAGCUGAAAUUUGUAAAUCUACAUAUAUGAUUGCAUGUGAAGGAAGGAGUUUGCCACUUCUCCAUAGGAAAUUCUAAGUUUUUCCAAUUCUUAUCCAUCACUCGUCUAGGAAUGUCAUAGCUGAAUUCCUGAACAAAUGGACUUCAUAAACCCACAUAUAUUAUAGCUUAUUAUUCCAUUUGAAGCCUGCCAGCAUAUGAUGGCAUUUUUUCUGAUUAUUUGACAUACAUCUAUGCAUACUCUGCUGCAAAUCUGGUCCCUCAAAUUUUUCCCAAAUGAUAGAUUUUAAGGCAAUAGUUACCCCGUCAAUAUCCAGUGUUUAGGAGCAAUAAUUUUGGGUUUGUGUUGUUUCUUGCAUUAUGCUUUAGUUUGCUAAAUUAUGAAUAAAAAUUAUAUCAANNNNNNNNNNNNNNNNNNNNNNNNNNNNNNNNNNNNNNNNNNNNNNNNNNNNNNNNNNNNNNNNNNNNNNNNNNNNNNNNNNNNNNNNNNNNNNNNNNNNCUUUGUGAUUUUUCUUUGGUAUUUUUAUUCGGUAGAGAAACAACUACAAGAAGAUAUCAAAAUAUUUUCUCAUGACUCAUGAGUGAUUACUCCGGUGCAGGGAAAAAAUUAUUGUAAAAAGAACAGCAAAGAAGAGAAGGAAAAGAUAGAAAAAUAUUGAGCUCAGAGUGUAAUAAACUUACUUGAUUGCAGCUUUUAAGAAUGAUGAACAGAUUGUGCUUCUAUAACAGAUUGGCGAAAUCCGGCGAGAGGAGAAAUCCGGCGAAAUCCGGCGAGAGGAGAAAUCCGGCGAAAUCCGUCGAUGAUGAUCGGCGAAAACCGGCGAGAGGAGAAAUCCGGCGAAAUCCGUUGAUGAUGAUCGGCGAAAACCGGCUAUUAAGAAUGAAUAGGAAAAUCCGGCGAGAGGAGAAAUUGGGGGUGGAUGGUUUAGGGUUUAAGGUUUGGGAGUGAAAUUGGGGGUGAAGUGUGAAAUUGGGGGUUGUUUAAAGGGUCAUUUUACAUUAAUACCUUAUNNNNNNNNNNNNNNNNNNNNNNNNNNNNNNNNNNNNNNNNNNNNNNNNNNNNNNNNNNNNNNNNNNNNNNNNNNNNNNNNNNNNNNNNNNNNNNNNNNNNUAUUGCUAAUUAUAAAUUUCUCAUAAAAGAUAAAAUAUUAAGGGUUACACCGAAAGACAUAGGGUAUAUUUUCGGUCUACCAUUUUCCGGUGCGAAAAUUCAGGUGGGUAGGUGUGAUUCUAUCAAUUAUUCUACUUCUUUCUGACAUAAGUACUUCAAUGUAUGUCAAACACGUCAUUAGGUAAUUUUCAAACUCCUUUUUAUUUUUUAAUUUAAAUAAUCUUUAUAUUUUAAAUUGAAAAUUGUAAUAAAUAUUAAUCUUAUUAUACAUGCGUUAUUCUUUAUAGUGCUUUUAGUAAAGGAAGCAUUUAAAUCUAUCGUCCUCUCUGUUAAUUUUGAAGAAGAAAAUUUAAAGGAUUAUUAAAGGGAAAUCAGUUACUUAAUUACACUUAGUUAGUUAGCUAAUCUAGUUAGAAGUCUGUUACACAAAGUCCUAUAUAAUUAAGGACAUGAUAUCAUUAGUAAUAAUCAUCAAGUUUACAAUACAAAUCUAUUUCUCUAGUUUGUGAUAUGUUGACACUUGUUCAAAUGAACCCUCUGUCGUGGGGCUCACGGGUAGCAUCCGGGGCUCUGAGUUCACCCAAAGUUCACAAUGUGCGAACCCAGUAGGGUUACCAUUCCUUCAUAGAAGGGGAACUCAGCCAUUCUAUAUCUAUCCCUGUCCAACUCGGUGGCAGGGGGUGGAGUCUUAGCUCCAUUAGAUGGGUCACGGACGUGGCCCCCGCCAACAGUAUGAGUCUCGCCACGAUCUAGAAUAAACUCUUGUUCAUAAUUCACAAGUGAUUCAGGGUUUGGUUUCACAAUGCGAAGUGGAACAUCAAACCUUUCAGCUUGAAUCGCCGAUUCAGGAUCCGGAAUCGUCGAUUUGUAGUUAAUAAUUGUCGAUUCAGGACCAAGGUCUCAGUGAUUCCUUCUCUUGAAAGUGGUGUUCAAUUCAAUGGUGGGGACAUCCUUGGCCACCUCAGCAAUCGACGAUUUCUUCUGGGAAAUCGAAGGAUCUCACCCACUUCAGCGAGUGAUUCAGCCCCGGUGAAAUCGAAGGAUCGCUACAGCCUUGAUGAGGAUCAAAGUCGCUCUGUCGCUAUGGCCGGAGUUGGACUACAAAAUUUUGUCGCUUUGGCUUUAAUGGAUCCUGGAUCAUUUUGUUGCUAUGGCCUUAAUGAUCCAUUCAACCUUUCUUGGGGGGAGGGAUACUGGCGAUACACGCCUGAUUACAUGCUCUCUUUAGGGGUGAGUACUGCUGAUACAUGAAUGUAACGCCAGUCACUCCCAUCAAUGUCCCUCAGCAAGGACUAGGGUUCUGUUUGCUUUAUACCGAACUCCCGAAAGGCUCCCACGAUCGCGGAACAAUGGUCUUCGUCAAGUAACCGAGUUGAACUAGUGAAUCACUGACUUGGGGCUGCCAAAUCGCCGAUUCCAGUGGUAAAUCGCCGAGUUGAGGCCGAGAUCACCAGUACUGGCAGGCUUCCGAUCUCGCCCCUCUGAACUCGCCGACUCAGCAACUCCAAUCGCCGAUUCACCCCCCAAUCGCCGAUCUCACGAUUGUUACUCGUCGCCAGCUCGCGUCAUUAAUGGCGUGCCAUUAAUGCCUGGCGCGAUCACCGUCGCAGAUUACGUCAGGAAGGCCCUAUAAAAGGGGUCCUCUGAACACAAUUCAAGGCAUCAGAUCCAUUCCAAUCCAGAGAAGAGCAGGGAGCAAAUCGUCGAUUAUACUGAUAUAAUCGUCGAUUCCUUUCAGAAGAUUUGACGUAGAGCGCGCAUCGUGGACUCCAGAGCCUCCGGCAUCACCUCGCACCACCACGAGCGCGCCAUAGUAAUAUUUCCCAUGCUUCAUCACCGUUUAUUUAAAAUAUUGAGAAUAUGAAUGCACUAUAUUCUACUUAUAUUUAGUCAAUUCAAAAGAAGCAUUAGAUUCAAAUAUAAUAUUAGGAUAGAAUUAAUUAAUGAUUAUAGCUUAUAUAUAUAUAUAUAUAUAUAUAUAUAUAUAUAUACAGCAUAAAUCAGGAACGACACUUACCGUUCCUUGAGUCAGUGCGGUACCUACCUCCUCCACCUUCCGAUUUCGUAUCCACGGCUGUAUCCUCCUCCAGCCACCGUUCCAACACCGGUAAUUGUUCCAACAUCGAGCGAACUGCAAUCUCCGCAUCCUCACCGGUCACCGAACAGUUCUGUCACGGAACCCAUCGCGGUUCCGCGAACUGCAAUCUCUCGCGGUUCUACGAUGGGUACCGGAACUGCAGCUCGCGAUCACGAUGGUUGCCGGAACUGCAAUCGCGAGCCGCGAUCGUAGAAUCGAUGGGUACCGGAACUGCAAUCUCCACGAACUGCAAUCGCGAGCUGCAAUCGUAGAAUCGAUGGGUACCGGAACUGCAAUCGCGAACUGCAAUCUCCACGGAAGCCAUCGCGGUUCUACGAUGGGUACCGGAACUGCAGCUCGCGAUCACGAUGGUUGCCGGAACUGCAAUCGCAGUUCCAUCACUGCAAUCGAUGUCGGACCUGCAGGAUGUAGUUCCGGCAGAUUUGGUGUCGCACGGGGGAACGUUCGAAAGACCAGCCGUUCCAGAAACUUUCCCUAUAUAUAUAUAUGAAAUUUAAAAAUUCAUAUCUCAUAUUAUUAUAAAUGUUGCCGCUUCCUUCUUUCUCAGUAUGACGACCAACACAAACCAAAGCACCACGAUUUGCAAUACCUUGCCCAAAAUUAAUAAUUUUUAAUUCAAUAAAAUCUAACCAAAAUAAUUUAUAAGCUAGUAUGGAAGAUUUAAAUAAAAAUUCUCGAUUUCUCACCCAAGAGAAUACAUUGAUAUCAGUCGUUUCGUGGCGACCCGUCAGUCUUCGUUCAUUUCUAAUACCAUAUUUGACAAUGUGUUCCUUGUGGCAUAAACCUAACUUCUCGAUGGUCUUCUCUAUCACAUCAUAGCCACCUUCUGAUCUCAUAGACCUUAUGUUAUAUAUAAUUAAGUUUAAUUACAUACAAUAUAUAUGUAAAUUGACAAUUAAUAAAUGUUGCAAUUAAUAUGACUAAUUUAUAAAUAGAAUUGUAGAUAAUUAAUUAAUUACGAUGUAGUACUUAAUUAAUUAUGUGAUUAAAUGAUAAAAUAUGAUGACCAUAUGUGUUACUUCUAAAUGAAUGCAGAUGAAGUAUAUAUGGAUGGGUGUGAUUAAUUUGAUAUCAUAUAUAAGAUAUGAUUAUAUAGCUAGAUAUUACUUGACAAUCUUUUUUAAUUAAUGAUAUUCAAAACUAGCUCAAGGCCUUUCUUUUAUUCAUGUAGAAACUAAUUAGGGUUAGGGUUAGAGUCAUGUAGAAACACCAUUCCAAUAUUCCUAGUCGUAUAUAUAUAUAUAAUGGGUUGUGGGCUCGCGUUAGGGUGCUCACACACACAAUUCUUUAGUAUUAUUUCUACUGAUAAUCGACCCCCUUCCUUGUUGCACUGGGGAGGUAUUUAUAACCUAUAUCCUUGGGUCUACUGAGCCUAGCAGGCCUAUUUGGUCCGGGGUCCGGUACCAACAAUAUAUAUUAAAAAGUUUGGAAAGUUUUAAUCUAAAAUAGAAUUAUUAAUGAAAGAGACUUCAACUAACCGGAAUUGGUUUGGGAGCAAAAAUAAGGGUAACUCCUUCCAAUUCAGCAACCCUAGCGCCACCUCUUGAGUCUUAAGCAAACCCCUUCUCCCACUUCUGAUCUCCCUCCUUUCUCAAAAGAGAGGGGGGAGACAAGUUCUUUCCCUCUUCCCCCUUUCAUGCCUUUCUCUACCGUUCUCCCUCCUCGUUGUAUGUCGUCGUCUUAGAUCCUCACCCACAACUCCCUAUCUCUCCAUUUCUUUUUGCCUCCUGAAGCUUAUUCGAUUCUUUCCCAUUUCUUUUAUGGUCGUCGUGAUUCCGUUGCUCCUUUUCAGGUUCAGAGGAGGGGAAGAGGGCUUCUCGCCACUUCUCCUUAUCGUCAUAUGGCCUCGCCCGCAGACUAAGAAGCUUUCUCGAUUCCAUUCUGAGUUGCUUUCAGAUUUAACCAAUUUUCUUCCCGUUUGAGGAUGGAAAAUUAGGGAUUUAAUGUAAAAGGGAAAUCAGGAAGUUAUAUCGUCGGAUGACAAAUGCAAUCUAGGAAAUGCAAUUUAGUUACGCAUACUCAUAAUAAUUUUGCUGUACUUACAUUUAAUAAUAUAAUACAUCCCAUAUCAAUUAAACUUAAUAUACACGGUAAAGACACUCCAUAGGGUAAAUUUUUGACAACGAAUAGUCCUUGAAUCACAUGAUUGACGAGCCAAAGGAUGUUGAGAUCGUCAAUACAUCCCUCUGAUGUUGGUGAUAUAGAGCUGUUGGUACCAUGGACCGCGGACCAUGGCCCAUAGACCGAACAAGGCCUGUCGGCGGCCCAGGCGAGUGGGCGGGCCCAACGUACGAGCCCACGAGGCCCGAGGUCGACGAUGGGAAGCUAUAAAUACCUCCCCUGAUCCAACAGGGGACGGGGUUGAUAAUUCUUGGAGGAACACUUGUACUAAGUUGCGGUUGUGAGCUUACUCCGGCGAGCCCGCACACCAACAGUGGUGAACCUGACGUGAACGAACACGCGACAAUCGGAGAAGAGGAGGAUGACAAGAAGCGGCUAUCAAGUAGGGGAAUGCUCCAAGCGACGCGAGCGAGCAGNNNNNNNNNNNNNNNNNNNNNNNNNNNNNNNNNNNNNNNNNNNNNNNNNNNNNNNNNNNNNNNNNNNNNNNNNNNNNNNNNNNNNNNNNNNNNNNNNNNNCCCAGGAAGAGAGGUUACGCAUGGAGUUGGAGAAAAUAAGGUAUGGGUGGGAGUCUCCCAGAAAGAGCCGGCGUCCCCGCCCAGGGAUACGAGUACGCGGUCCCGGUCGCGAUCCCGGGAGAAAAGGGAAAGGGAGCACGAGAGGCUCGGGCGAAGGGAACGCGCGGAGGAGAGGGCGCGCGCGGAAAGGGAGACCAAGCGAGAGAGGGUGCAGCUCGUGGAACUGAUAUCCACUCUACAGAAGAGCCAGCGCCAGCUGCAGGAGCAGGUACACCAGCUCACGGUGACCCCCCGUACCCUGGAGUUGGACGGGGGCGGAGGCGGAGACCCAAUGUACGGACCGGCCCCCCCGGGUGAAGGACCCGGGAGCGAUACCCCACCCGCGAAAGCCCCGGGUGCCAUCACCAUGAUGAAGGCCGUAGCAACACCGGUCCCAUUCGCAAGAUGGGGAAUUGACAUAGUCGGGCCAUUCCCACCAAUGUCAAGAGGAAGGAAGUUCCUAUUCGUAGUGGUCGACUAUUUCACGAAGUAGGCUGAGGCGGAGGCCACGAAUACGAUCAGUGAACAGAACGUGGUAAAUUUCGUCUUGAGAAACAUCGUCUGCCGGUUCGGGGUCCCGAUCCAUAUAAUAACAGACAACGGAACGCAGUUCACAGGAAAGAAACUAAGGGAGUUCUGCGAAGACAGCGGGAUCAAGCUGAGCUUCGCGCCAGUCUACCACCCGCAGGCGAACGGACAGGUAGAGGUCACGAACCGGACGAUAACAUCGAUCCUGAAGAGGAAGGUAGGCGAGCACCCGGGGAACUGGGCGGACCUAGUCCCCGAGACUAUGUGGGCAUUCCGCACGACUAUCCGGACUCCCACGGGCCAAACCCCGUUCGCCCUCACUUUCGGGAUGGAGGCGGUAGCACCGGCCGAAUUGGUAUGGCCGACCGCACGCAUCGAGCAAUACCAGCCGGGGACGAACGAUCAAGCGAUGCUCCUAAAAAGGGAGCACCUAGAGGACCGAAGAGAGGAGGCGUCUAUCAGUGACCUCACCUACAAACGAAGGGUGGCGAGGUACCACAACGAAAGAGUGACCAACAAGAACCUGGUGUCAGGGGAUCUGGUGUUGAGAAACGCCAAGGUAACUGGAAUCGACCAGACAAAGGGGAAGUUGUCAGCAAGGUGGGAGGGCCCGUACGUCAUCAUGGACGAGAUUCACCCAGGCAUCUUCCGCCUAGGGUACGAGGACGGGCAAGAAAUUGAAAGAACGUGGCACGCCGACAACCUGGAAAAGUACAGGCGGUGAAGCAGCAUGUCCGAGGUCGGCGAAAAAGUAUUUUCUCUCUUUGUUUCGUUCCCCCCGUCCCAUGUAACGUCGGGCGUCUCCCCGACCACGGCACGCGAUGCCCAAUAAAACGCACCCGUAGUGCACCCAUUUUAAGAAAAAAUGAGAAGUAAAAAAAGAGGGGGAGCCCGCCGAAAAGGCCACCGAAAAGCUCUCAGGGUCGGGAGACCGCAUGAGACAAUCCGAACGGCCCAGGCCGCCCCCCCUCCCAAAAAAAAACGUAAUAAGUAAGAACGCGAAAGCGAUANNNNNNNNNNNNNNNNNNNNNNNNNNNNNNNNNNNNNNNNNNNNNNNNNNNNNNNNNNNNNNNNNNNNNNNNNNNNNNNNNNNNNNNNNNNNNNNNNNNNNNNNNNNNNNNNNNNNNNNNNNNNNNNNNNNNNNNNNNNNNNNNNNNNNNNNNNNNNNNNNNNNNNNNNNNNNNNNNNNNNNNNNNNNNNNNNNNNNNNNNNNNNNNNNNNNNNNNNNNNNNNNNNNNNNNNNNNNNNAGUAAACGAACGCGGAAGGAGAAAAGGUCUGAAGAAGAAGAAUAGUAGGUGAUUGGAUGCAUUCAAAAGUUACGAAUGAAUAUAAAAAAAGUUAAGUGUUUUUACAUUACAAAAAAGAGAAGGAAAUAAAAACUGUUCAGGGACGAACGAAGGGCUAUUCGAGCGGAGGCUCCGUGUAAUCAGGGAAGUUGGCCUCAAGGUCCUGCUCCUCGCUCUCGCUCACGUCCAAGGGAGGCUGGUAGGAGGGGACGCUCGUCUUUCGCCAGUCUUCCCACUCUGGGCGGCUCCGGGGCACGACGCCGAGCGAAAGGGGCGGGUAGACGAGUUCGCACAUCCGNNNNNNNNNNNNNNNNNNNNNNNNNNNNNNNNNNNNNNNNNNNNNNNNNNNNNNNNNNNNNNNNNNNNNNNNNNNNNNNNNNNNNNNNNNNNNNNNNNNNCCAUGACCGUCUCCAGGGCAGCGGCGACAGACUUCCGUUUCUCGGACCGAAUUUUUUUCCUUCGUCGCCGCUCGGCUCGGUUGUCUCGAAGGCCAUAGUCAGAUUCGGCCGGGUGGCCACCCUCGGUUUCGAGAUCAUGCGAAGGCGGAGAAGCGGGGGACUCAAACUGGACGGCGUCGAGCGGCCUUUUUUGCUUCGGGCGUUUGGGCGGCCCGUCCUGAAAGUAAGGCAUCUUGACGGGCAAAGCCAGAUGCACGUCAUAGCUCUAAGAUUGGGCCAGCGUCCGAGCAUUGACGACCCCGCGGCGGUAAAUUUCAAUAAGAACUUCCUGGGCGCUUCGGGCCAGGGGCGCCAACGCAUCUCGGCUAGGGGCGGCGGUCCGGGUCUUCAACUGAGUCAGCAGAGCCCAGCGUGUAGGGACCUCCGAACAGGACAGACCAAGGACGUCAACAGGGACGAAGAAGAACCGGUCCCGCCAGUGGUGAGAUCGGUCGACCAGCUGGUCGAAGAGGGCACCGCCCGACCUCUGGGCGAUCAGCAGACGGCGGGGAUCAGUUGUCAUCGAGGUCAUGGUGAACCAGAUCAAGAAGACGGGCAGGAAGACUUCGAUGCCAGACCGACGGCAAAGCAGGGUAAAGGUCAUCAGACGGUCGAUGGCAGCCGGGGGGAACUGGGAGAUCGAGAUGUCGCAGAAGUACAUCGCUUCGGCCACCAGAGGGGGAAGCGGAAGAGUAAGGCCGGCCUCGACGAAGGGCGUGUAAAGAGCCACCAUGCCCCGCGGCGGUUGAGAGGCGAGACGUGUUCCGGCCUCAGUAUAAACCAGGUCUGGCUGGCCCAUUUUCACCAGAGCCUCCCGGAUUACGUCAGAUCCGACGGUGGACAGCGGAUUCUUGCUGGUAGGAGCGGCAAAGAGUGACUCGGCAAGAGCGGCGUCGGCGUCGGAUUGAGAUGCGACAGCAGAACCAGCGGCGGAGUGUGGAGGAGCGGCCAUCAGCAACCUGGUGAAAGAGGAGUGGUCGGAGUCGAGGAAGACGAGGAGCGAGACGAGAGAGGAAGUGAGAAUCAGUCGCGAAUGAAGGGGGGAGCAGGGUUUAUAUAAGGGUUCGAGGGCGCGGAAGACGAGGCGUCGCUUACCUGGGUUGGAUGGGACUAAUUGGGCCGGGGGGCCUCCGUGGGAACCCAGGGCCCAGUUCGUCGGGGAGCAGGGUGAAAGUCAGCGCCCGGCGCGGACGGCGAGGAGCUGGACAGACGUCCGACGAAGACCCGGCGGCGUCCAGUGAUCAAACGAUACGCGCGGAACGAGGCGGCGGUGUCCAAGCGGACCCACUGGUGGACCCAACCAAGGAGUCGAACGAGACGACGUAAUGGGAGAGCCCCCACGUCGGCGAAGAGGUGGCCCGCGGCGGGGAGCGAGGGCAAAGCUCAAGAAGGGCCCGGGCAACGUCGGCAGAAAACGCCGAGUAGCGCAAAUUUGCACCAACGUGCGAGGGCAAAGUCAAAACAAAAGAGAAAGAAGCGAAGGAAAAGCAUUCAUUAAAGUAAAACAAGUGUUACAAUAGCCGGCGACACGGCGGAAAAAAGAACACAACACAUAACAACAACAAAAGUACGGAUACAAAAAAAGAAGAGGAGAGAAGAAGGACGAGGCGCCCCAGACGCCGCCCCGCGAAGGCAGACCCACAGCCCGAAAGGACGUGGGCGCGACCGCGGAUAGCCCCACGACGGGCUUAGCAGGCCGACUUCAAGGACCCCGACAGGAAGUGGCGCAGGUCAGUAGCCGGAAGGGACGGAGACCCACGGGAGCGGCGAUGGCCGCGCGACCGACGAGGCUUUGUCAGAGAAUCGGCGGCGGCAGCGACAGCAGGAGCGACGAUCAUACCAUGCGCGCUGAAGGCACGUGAGGUACCAGCGGAGCCCGAGACGGCGGCAAGAGCGUUAGCGGGGCAGGCGACGGCAGGAUGGCCCGUGAGAGGGUCGGAGCGGCGAACCUGGGAGAGGCGGUGAUGGACGUCGAUCAGCACGGCGUUGAGACGUUGAGUCUCAGCUACGGCUACGCUGUUAGGGACGCCAGCAGGCGACAUCAGGCACAUGUCCCAGGCGGCGUGCUGAAGCUGCACUUCGCGACCGUACUCCUCGAGGAUGUCUUGAACGCUCAUGGAGAAGGGGGAUGGUACGAGAAGUUGAAGAGGCGAGUAGGCUAUUUAUAGGAAGGAGAAGGGGGAGCGGCUCGAGUACCGAGGAGCUUUAAUGGAGGUGGUUGUAGGCGGGACGGGGGCGGACGGCCCCCGGGCCCGGACCCGUCGAGGAAGGGGGGAGUAUGGGUAUUGAUUCACCAAAAAUAAUUGACUUCUUCAAACUGAUUUAUAAUUUUGAAUAAUUUUGGAAAUCACAAAUUUAUUUUUAUUAAAAAUGUCUUUUAGACAUUUUUAUCUUUAAGUUGAAGCGUCACCUUUGCAACGUCUAAUACAACAAAUACUACCAAAACCUACAUUUCGAUUUAUUUCUCCCCGUUUACAGCCCUCGUUGUUUUUAUUUCCUAUUUUCUGAUUGACUGUAGAAAUAUUCUCCAUUCUUCCCAAAGGUAAAAUGAUUUUAUAUUGCAAAUUAUUAUAACGAUAUAAUCUUGAGAUAUUGGAAGAAAAUGUGUUGUAAAUGAUGUGCUAUUCCAAUUACUUUAUAGAAAAAUAUAUAUUUGUAACCGAUGUAACGCUCGUCGGUUACAGAUUCAUUUUAAAUUCAAAUUAUUAAGUUCUACUAAAUUUUAUUACGCAAAAAAAGGGAUGAGCAACGAUGUGUUGGACACCCCGACCUAAGAGUUACCUCACACAUUUUGAUAACAAUAGAAACAACCCCUCGGGUUUACAUAUAAAAUAAAGGGAUAUAUAUAUAUGAAAAAUAAUACUAAUGUGUUCAGAGGUUUACACUCCCCAAACAUUAGAGUAUAUAGCAUAAACCCUAACUUACCCAGAACUAGAGAAAGCUUCAAUGUGAUGGAUGAUGAUAUAGGAUUGUAAACUUUUCUUCGCUAUCAACCGGAAUUCUGGAUCCCUGAAGGCUCCCAGAGAUAUGGAAAAAACACUUUUAAAAAUCUCGAAUACAAAGGUUAUUCUAAGCUACUAGCUAGGGGAUUUCUUCAUGAGAAUAGGUGAUUUUCACUAUCAAAAAUGGGAUCUACGGACAUUUCUUGGACCUAGCCUAGCCCUUGGAGGUUAUAUAAAAGGAGACCCUGGCUAAGAGCAUAUCUAAGGAAUUAAUUCUACCCAUUUCAAAGUGACAUAUAUGGAGAAAUCGCCGACUUUAUCACUCUAGUCGUUGAUUCUUGCUUGAGAACUAAACGUUGAGCGUGCUUCUUAGACUCACGAGCUUUCGGACCAACAAGACGACCAUCAUUAGUUGGCACCGUCUUAUAGAAGAAUCUCAAGCUCGUAAGAGAUUUAACAUACCAAAGAUUUUAGGCAAGUUCGUCUAUUUUCAUCUAGAAAUCGUAAAUUUCGUUAAUUAGACAGCUUCACGUUCAUUUCAUUCGACCCGAAGCUAAGUCAAUAGCAUAUUAGCCAUUGAAAUAUCAAUAAUAAAUCUUCCCCGAAAUCUACAAUGGUGCUGUGCAAAAUGAAUGCCAACAACGAAAUCUUCCCCGAAAAUUAUGUUUCCAAAACACACACAGCUCCGUCUGGAAAAUUUACACUUCAAACAAUUUGCCGAUUGGUUUAAAAAACACAUGUCCGAAGCUCAACAAUCUGACACAGAUUUAAAUUCUAUUUCCCGCGGACCAAGUUGUUUUGCUUCAAUUUAUAGUGGUUACAUUAUGAAUGGAUUAAAAUUUCAGACGUCAGAAUUGACAAAUCGUAGAUCAACGCAAAAUAACGGUAUUUUUCUAUCGGCUACAACAUCAACGUAUGCUAAAUCUCCAAAUGAUGCUCCGUUGGUAGCAGAAAUUGAAUAUCAUGGAUUAUUAGAAAAUGUUUUCGAAAUUUGCUACGGUCACACGACUAAAUAUUGUCUGUUUGAAUGUAAGUGGUACGAUCCUGGAAAAGCAGGUACUAAAGUUGAUGAUUUUGGUGUCGUUUCAGUCAACACGACACGGGGGAAAUUUGGAAAAGAACCUUUCAUUUUAGCAAAUCAGGCUCAACAAUGUUUCUACAUUCAAGAUCCGGUAGAAUCUGAAUGGAGUUCAGUCCUUAAAAUACCAAAUAGAGAUAUUUUCGAUGUUGAUAAUGAUGAUUGUUGUAAUUAAAUUAUAAAGUAUUACAUUACAAUAUAAUUUAAUAUUUUCAAUGUAAUAUCAUGUUGAUUAUAAAUCUUUCUUUUUUUUCAGUAAAAAAUGAGUCAACUACUUGCAAUCGUCGAACGAUAUAAACGACUAGAGCGACUUAAUCAGAUUCAACGUAGUUUUUACAAAAACAUAGAUUAUUAUUGUCGUGUUUUUGCUUGUUUCCGUUGCGGAGUCAACGGUCAUCAUUUUCACAACUGUCCAAAAAUAUGGUUGACAAAUCCUCAAACAAUGGAAACCGGUCAGAUUUUAGUGUUAGGAUACGAGGCUAGAGUGUUGAAUGAUNNNNNNNNNNNNNNNNNNNNNNNNNNNNNNNNNNNNNNNNNNNNNNNNNNNNNNNNNNNNNNNNNNNNNNNNNNNNNNNNNNNNNNNNNNNNNNNNNNNNNNNNNNNNNNNNNNNNNNNNNNNNNNNNNNNNNNNNNNNNNNNNNNNNNNNNNNNNNNNNNNNNNNNNNNNNNNNNNNNNNNNNNNNNNNNNNNNNNNNNNNNNNNNNNNNNNNNNNNNNNNNNNNNNNNNNNNNNNNNNNNNNNNNNNNNNNNNNNNNNNNNNNNNNNNNNNNNNNNNNNNNNNNNNNNNNNNNNNNNNNNNNNNNNNNNNNNNNNNNNNNNNNNNNNNNNNNNNNNNNNNNNNNNNNNNNNNNNNNNNNNNNNNNNNNNNNNNNNNNNNNNNNNNNNNNNNNNNNNNNNNNNNNNNNNNNNNNNNNNNNNNNNNNNNNNNNNNNNNNNNNNNNNNNNNNNNNNNNNNNNNNNNNNNNNNNNNNNNNNNNNNNNNNNNNNNNNNNNNNNNNNNNNNNNNNNNNNNNNNNNNNNNNNNNNNNNNNNNNNNNNNNNNNNNNNNNNNNNNNNNNNNNNNNNNNNNNNNNNNNNNNNNNNNNNNNNNNNNNNNNNNNNNNNNNNNNNNNNNNNNNNNNNNNNNNNNNNNNNNNNNNNNNNNNNNNNNNNNNNNNNNNNNNNNNNNNNNNNNNNNNNNNNNNNNNNNNNNNNNNNNNNNNNNNNNNNNNNNNNNNNNNNNNNNNNNNNNNNNNNNNNNNNNNNNNNNNNNNNNNNNNNNNNNNNNNNNNNNNNNNNNNNNNNNNNNNNNNNNNNNNNNNNNNNNNNNNNNNNNNNNNNNNNNNNNNNNNNNNNNNNNNNNNNNNNNNNNNNNNNNNNNNNNNNNNNNNNNNNNNNNNNNNNNNNNNNNNNNNNNNNNNNNNNNNNNNNNNNNNNNNNNNNNNNNNNNNNNNNNNNNNNNNNNNNNNNNNNNNNNNNNNNNNNNNNNNNNNNNNNNNNNNNNNNNNNNNNNNNNNNNNNNNNNNNNNNNNNNNNNNNNNNNNNNNNNNNNNNNNNNNNNNNNNNNNNNNNNNNNNNNNNNNNNNNNNNNNNNNNNNNNNNNNNNNNNNNNNNNNNNNNNNNNNNNNNNNNNNNNNNNNNNNNNNNNNNNNNNNNNNNNNNNNNNNNNNNNNNNNNNNNNNNNNNNNNNNNNNNNNNNNNNNNNNNNNNNNNNNNNNNNNNNNNNNNNNNNNNNNNNNNNNNNNNNNNNNNNNNNNNNNNNNNNNNNNNNNNNNNNNNNNNNNNNNNNNNNNNNNNNNNNNNNNNNNNNNNNNNNNNNNNNNNNNNNNNNNNNNNNNNNNNNNNNNNNNNNNNNNNNNNNNNNNNNNNNNNNNNNNNNNNNNNNNNNNNNNNNNNNNNNNNNNNNNNNNNNNNNNNNNNNNNNNNNNNNNNNNNNNNNNNNNNNNNNNNNNNNNNNNNNNNNNNNNNNNNNNNNNNNNNNNNNNNNNNNNNNNNNNNNNNNNNNNNNNNNNNNNNNNNNNNNNNNNNNNNNNNNNNNNNNNNNNNNNNNNNNNNNNNNNNNNNNNNNNNNNNNNNNNNNNNNNNNNNNNNNNNNNNNNNNNNNNNNNNNNNNNNNNNNNNNNNNNNNNNNNNNNNNNNNNNNNNNNNNNNNNNNNNNNNNNNNNNNNNNNNNNNNNNNNNNNNNNNNNNNNNNNNNNNNNNNNNNNNNNNNNNNNNNNNNNNNNNNNNNNNNNNNNNNNNNNNNNNNNNNNNNNNNNNNNNNNNNNNNNNNNNNNNNNNNNNNNNNNNNNNNNNNNNNNNNNNNNNNNNNNNNNNNNNNNNNNNNNNNNNNNNNNNNNNNNNNNNNNNNNNNCCAGCAACUCCGAAGAAAGUCGUCGUUUAUGAAACGGAUUCGGAAUAGUUCAAUAAUUAGCUAGAUUUUCCCAAAAAAAUUGAACUUUAUAUUAAUUGAACUAUAACUAAUAUUGUAAUAGUCAAUUAAUUUUUAUCUAAUUAAUUAUAAUUCGAUAAAAAAUUUAAUUUUUAGGAUAAUGUCGAACGUUAUGAAAGUACCCGAUAAAGCUUGGAUGAGUUUAGAUCGGUUUUCGAAAGAAUACGGUGAAGGGUUAACAGCUUUCACUAAUUUCGUCAUUUCGAAUUCGACUCACCCAGAAAGUUAUUUACCUUGUCCAUGCUCGUCCUGCACGAAUAGUGAAGUGAUUCCUAUAGUGAAGUGAUUCCAUGAAGAUCCAGUCGAUGUUGAUCCAGUCGACGAAGAUCCAAAGCAGAGAUAUGACGAUUCGUUCUUACGCCGUCUAAAAGAAGGUGAAGAAAAGUUAUAUCCCGGUUGCACUGAGUUUUCCAAACUAUCUUUUAUCUUGGAAUUGUAUCAGUUGAAAUGCGAUAAUCAUUGGAGUGAUAAAAGUUUUCAGAAAUUAUUAUCCAUCAUGCGUCGUGCUAUUCCAAAUGGGGAGUCAACCAUUCCGAAAACCAUGUACCAUGCGAAAUCGGUAGUUCGUGACCUGGGCCUUAAUUAUACGAAAAUCGAUGCAUGUCGCAACGAUUGUAUUUUAUAUCGAAAUAAAUAUGCAAACGCAGAAAGUUGCCCGAAUUGCGGAACGUGCAGGUGGGUCGUCGAAGGCGUUCAGAAAAACAAACGUGUUCCAGCAAAAUGUCUUCGUCACUUUCCGUUGAUUCCACGUUUGAAGAGAUUGUAUCUAUGUUCCAAAAUUUCUGAAAACAUGAUAUGGCACCAUUCCAAACGUAAAGACGACGGAUUUCUUCGGCAUCCAGCAGAUUCUUUACAAUGGAAGAAAUUUGACGAGGUUCAUCCUAAAUUUGCAUCCGAACCUCGUAAUGUGAGACUUGGUUUUGCAACUGAUGGAUUCAACCCGUUCAGUCAGCAAUCUCUAUCUCAUAGUACUUGGCCAGUGAUAGUUAUACCGUACAACCUUCCACCUUGGAUGUGUAUGAAGCAACCGAAUUUCAUGUUGUCUCUACUAAUUUCCGGUCCGUCAGCUCCAGAGAACUAUAUAGAUGUCUAUCUUCAACCGCAUAUUGAUGAACUAAAGAUUUUAUGAGCAGAUGAUGUUACAGCUUUUGAUGUACGUACGCAGAAAUCUUUUAAGAUGUUUGCAUCACUUCUGUGGACGAUACAUGAUUAUCCAAGAUACGGUGAUAUAUCAGGGUGGAGCACUAAAGGAAAGUUAGCUUGUGCAGUAUGUAAGAAUGACACUGAAAGUAUUCGUUUAGAGCAUGGAAAGAAAGAGAGUUUUAUGGGGCAUCGUCGAUUUCUAGAUAUGAAACAUUAUUAUAGGAGCGAUAAGAAAAGUUUCAAUAAUCAUAUCGAAAUUAGAGUCGCCCCUAAACGUCUGACGGGUUCUGAAAUAUAUAGUCAGGUGUAUCCAUUUCGAGAUUCAGUAACUUUUGGUAAAACAUCGAAUGUACCAAAAGAUUGUAGACCGUCGACGAAAAGAACGAAAAAAAUACCAUUGCCCAAAGGAUGGAAAAAAAUGAGUAUUUUUUCGAAUUACCGUAUUGGAAGACGUUGCUUCUACGACAUAAUAUUGAUGUUAUGCACACCGAAAAGAAUGUGUGUGACAAUAUUUUGAACACUAUUUUGGAAAUGGAUGGUAAAACGAAAGAUAAUUUGAACGCGAGGUUCGAUCUACAAUCGAUGGGAAUCCGAAAAGAACUUCAUCCUAUUCGAUGGGGAGAAGAAUGGGACAUUCCGAGUGCGUGUUUCAACUUAACGACGAAUGAAAAAAUAUUAUUUCUGUCAGUGUUUAAAUCCCUUCGACUUCCCGAUAGAUAUUGUUCUAACAUUUCUAGAAACGUGAAAAUGAAAGAAAGAAAAUUUAUCGGAUUGAAAAGUCACGAUUGUCACGUUAUAAUGCAACAGUUACUUCCUAUUGCAUUACGAAAAUCGACAAAACCUGUAGUGAAUUCGGUUCUCGUUGAACUUUGCGGAUAUUUCCACGAUAUUUGUUCGAAAGUAAUCGAAAUCAAACUUAUGGAACGAUGGGAGAAAAGAAUUAUAUAUACAUUGUGCAAUCUUGAGAAAAUCUUUCCUCCCGGUUUUUUUACUGUAAUGGUUCAUCUGACGGUCCAUCUAGCAACCGAAGUGAAAAUAGCUGGACCGGUCCAAUAUCGAUGGAUGUAUCCGAUAGAGAGGUAUAUAUAUUUAAUUAUACAAUUAUAAAUAAAUUUAUAAUUAAUAUGUCUUGAUCAUACAAUAUAUAUUCUCAUUUUAGGUAUCUUUUGACUCUAAAAAAUCAUGUGACCGUACGUAGUCACCCGGAAGGAUCUAUUGCGGAAAGUUAUCUUGCUGAAGAGUCAAUGACGUUUUGUUCUAGGUUUUUACAAAAUGUCGAGACAAAAUCAAAUCGGCCAGAUAGGUAUAUCGAUGGAUUUUUAAAUGCACCGACUGAUAUAACGUUGACUACUUUACAACAGAAACAGUUGCAUCAAUGUAUAUUGUUUGACCUUGAAAGUGUCGAACCAUAUCGAAAUAAACACUUGAAGCAAUUGAAAGUUAUGUUUCCAAAACACACACAGCUCCGUCUGGAAAAUUUACACUUCAAACAAUUUGCCGAUUGGUUUAAAAAACACAUGUCUGAAGCUCAACAAUAUGACACAGAUUUAAAUUCUAUUUCCCGCGGACCAAGUUGUUUUGCUUCAAUUUAUAGUGGUUACAUUAUGAAUGGUUUAAAAUUUCAGACGUCAGAAUUGACAAAUCGUAGAUCAACGCAAAAUAACGGUAUUUUUCUAUCGGCUACAACAUCAACGUAUGCUAAAUCUCCAAAUGAUGCUCCGUUGGUAGCAGAAAUUGAAUAUCAUGGAUUAUUAGAAAAUGUUUUCGAAAUUUGCUACAGUCACACGACUAAAUAUUGUCUUUUUGAAUGUAAGUGGUACGAUCCUGGAAAAGCAGGUACUAAAGUUGAUGAUUUUGGUGUCGUUUCAGUCAACACGACACGGGGGAAAUUUGGAAAAGAACCUUUCAUUUUGGCAAAUCAGGCUCAACAAUGUUUCUACAUUCAAGAUCCGGUAGAAUCUGAAUGGAGUUCAGUCCUUAAAAUACCAAAUAGAGAUAUUUUCGAUGUUGAUAAUGAUGAUUGUUGUAAUUAAAUUAUAAAGUAUUACAUUACAAUAUAAUUUAAUAUUUUCAAUGUAAUAUCAUGUUGAUUAUAAAUCUUUCUUUUUUUCAGUAAAAAAUGAGUCAACUACUUGCAAUCGUCGAACGAUAUGAACGACUAGGGCGACUUAAUCAGAUUCAACGUAGUUUUUACAAAAACAUAGAUUAUUAUUGUCGUGUUUUUGCUUGUUUCCGUUGCGGAGUCAACGGUCAUCAUUUUCAGAACUAUCCAAAAAUAUGGUCGACAAAUCCUCAAACAAUGGAAACCGGUCAAAUUUUAGUGUUAGGAUACGAGGCUAGAGUGUUGAAUGAUUGUGGUGACACACAUUCAUUCAAAAUCGAAUACAACUCUUCUCACGACGACUUCGAAGAUUUGUUGUGUCUAAUAAUAAAGAAUGUAAAUUACAAUAGGAAAAAUGUUUGGUUGUUGUGUCAGACCAAGACCCCAUAUACGGGUGUCUGGCUAUGUAUUUAAAAUAACUAAUUUUAUUUUCAAAUUUAAAUAUUUCAGAUUAUGUUUACUUUUUUCGUUCUGCUCGGUGUUAUCACACCAUUCAUGGCACUGGCGAUGGUUACAUCCCGUCGCUCUUUUGAAGAGUCCAGUUCAAGUGGUCAGUUUAUUAUUUAUAUUUUAAAUAUUAUCAUUAUUUAUAUAAAAAAUUAAUUCUUAAAUAUUUAAAUUAAUUAGAUGCGAGGUCAUCCACAUCGAAUGUGCCUCCACAGAAGAAGGGUCGUGGUCGGAUCUCCUGAUGUGCUAUUUUAUAUCAUUUGGAAGUAGAGUUCUAUUCGCUUGAUGCUGGCCGGAUCUCCUGAAGGCUCCCAUGGAUAUAGAACAAAACGUCUUUAAAAAGCCUACGACACUAAUUAAAUAUCACCUAGUUCAACACAUAUCUCGCCUACAAUGGUUAAAGCUACUAGGUCAUUUCUUCAAGAGAAUAGGUGAUUUCCACUAGGAAAUUAGGGAUCUUUGGGCAUUUCUUGGAUCUAGCCUAGCCCCUGGUUACACUAUAAAAGGUUACCCCGGCCAAGAGUACAUUUAAGAUAUCAGUUCCACCCAUUCCAGAGUGGCAUAUGUGAAGCAAUCGCCGACUUUACCACUCUAGUUGUCGACUUCAUAUAGAGCACACUUCGUAGACUCACGAGCUUUCGGGCCGGCAAGACGACCACUGGCACCGCCGUGAGUACUGGUAAGAUUCUACGACCCUCAUUAGUUGGUGCCGUCUACUAGCGAAAUCUAAAACUCACGUUAGACAUUUAACAUACCAAGGCUUUAAGGCAAGUUGAUUUCCUUAAUUGUAUAGCUUCGUGCUCAUUCCAUUUGCCCCGAAGCUAAAUCACUAGCACAAUUGCCAUCGAAAUAUCAAUAACAAAUCUUCCCUGAAAUCUACAAUGGUGCUACACAACAUGAAUGCUAACAACUACAAAAAUAUUGCAUAGUCACAAAUAUCUCCACCACCACAACCACGGUCCAGUCGAAUCAAGUUGAAUCAAUCAACCCAAAAAUGUGAAGCUUUAGGUCAUAGAAAUUCAGGCAGUGUUUAAAAAAGUAACCAAGGAGCUAUGGGUGAGCAUGGGUCUGGUCAAACACGAACCGAACAUGUCGGGUCUGGGUUCGGAUGGAUAUUUUCGCCUACGAAACCUGAUCUGAAGGAACCGAACCGGGUGGUUUUUACCCAAUUUUUUCGGGUCGAGUUCGGGUAAGACUCGAACCACGCCCGACUUAACAAAUUUAUAAAAAACACCUUAAAAUAUAAAUAAUUAAUAUAAAUGAAAUGAAAUUUUAUAUAAAACCUUUUAUUAAAUUUUAAUAUAAAUAUAUACACACUUAAUAAAUUUCUCCCUCUUCUUCUAAACCCUAAUUUUAUUUUCAUUUUCCUCUCCUCUCCUCUUCUAUUUUCAUCUUCCCUCUCCCUUUCCUCGCCAGAUUUCCUCACUAUCGUCGGAUGUUCCCUUUCCUUAUCGUAAUGUACUAAUGUAGGAUAUGGAAAUUCAAUGUGGAGCUCCUAGAAAAAAACUAGUUAUGGAUGUAUAAACUAGAUGAAAUUCUAAUUAUGAAAUGCUUCGUACAACAAUACAAUUUAAGGAAGUGAUUAAAAAAAUGGCAAUCGCCGACAUGGCAUUCACUUGUGAGCCUAAUGAGGAUGAUUGAGAGAUGGCAAGUGCACUUGAAAGUUGUUUCAGCUUAUUCUACGAUAUUACCCAAUCAUUUUCAAUGCAAAAUUUCCUAGCAUUGAAUCACUACUUCGCAAUGAUAUAUAAGGUACAUUUAAAAGUUCUCGAUUUUUUGCAAAAGCAACUAUCCUUUGAUUGUUCGAAUAGGGAUACCAAUGUUUGUGAAAUUCAAAAAUAUUGGGAACAAGUGAACGGUCCAUUGGGAAUAGCAAUAAUUUUUGGUCCUCAUUGUAAAUAACAAACAAACUAACUAACUUACUCUAAAAUAAUUUUGGAUUUUAUCUUUCUAUUGAAUAUUAAUCUCUGGGUUAGGUAUUAUAUGAAUAAGUUAUACAGAAGUUGCAAAAGUCUAUGUAGAAGACAUCAAAGAAUGUGUUCGAUAUAUGUAUACCGAAUAUGAUUUGAAAUUUCGUAUAUAUGAAGAAAUACCACUAGGUAAUUUUUAUUAACUUUCACAUUUUAUGAACUAAUUUUCAACAUAAAUAAUUUUUUAUUCGGUAACGUUUUACAUAUUUAUAUAGGACAGAGUGGUGCUACUUUCGUACCUGAAGUUUUUCAACUAACAGACAAUACAGAGAUGGAAAUAUAAUAAUUUUGACAGAAGAUUAUGGUACUUCUUCUAUAUAUUCAGUCUGAUGUUUCUAUCUAUACAUCAGUUUUUCUUCUUUACAUGGUAACAGAGCGUUUGCGAUUUAGGGAUUUCAAAACUUCCGGGAAUUUUUUUUUGUGGUAGUGAUUGUCAUCAGCAAGGUAGCAAAUGGCAGCAAGAGGCUCUUUGUUUGACACAACAAAUCAGAACAUUACGAUUCUUGUAUCGGAAGGCACAUUACAGGCAAGAACAAGAAGGGAGAUCCCUCAGAUGAUGUAUUCUAUAGCGUCAUUGUGUCCGACUCCGCUUGCUGAAGGUAACUUUCUUGUCUGGAAAAAUCAGUUCGAAGGGGCUCUUAAAAUUCAUGGUCUGAUGGAAUAUGUGUCGGGUGAGUUUCCUGUUCCUGAGGAAAAAUUGGAAGAUGGCUCAGAUAAUCCAGAUUUUGAAAUUCAUAUAAGGAAUGAUGGGAUCGUUCUUAGCUGGAUCAAGGCCACAGUUAGUCAAGAGAUUCAACCGUUGUUACUUCCUUGUAAAACAGCCUUUGAGGCAUGGAGAAUGCUUGAAGAAGAUAUUUCACCAAUAGAUAAGAAUUCAAUCAAAUCGCUUAGGGAUGAGAUGAAUUCUCUUAGAAAAACUUCCAACAUCACAAUGAAGGAAUACGUGCUCAAAUUCAAGGCCUUGAAACACUCUUUAGAGGCAGCUGGCUACAAGAUAAAUGAUGACAGAGUAACUGAAUAUAUUCUAAGAGGAUUGGUCUAGAAUUCAGAAUUUCAGAACUACACUCAAUCAGAGGGAGUCGACUUCCUUUGCUCAAUUGGCAGAUCUUCUAGUCAAGGAGGACAUCCUAAUGAAGGAACUUGAUAAAACAACUUCUGAGGAUAGCUUUCAGGUUAAUUACUCUAAUUUUCAUAAAAAAUAUUAUCAAAAUACUAGGUUUCCCCGAGGAGGCAGAUCUGGUGGAUAUUAUAAUUCGAACUAUUCAAGACCUAAGCAAGGACCUCAUGUUGUAACUAUUCCUUCUCCUUUAAAUAAAAAUAGUCUUCCUCCUAUUUUAAAAAUACCCUCAUCCCAAGAUUUGGCUGUGGCAUGCCAAAUAUGCGACAAAAAAGGGCAUCUGGCCAGGAGUUGUCCAGAUAGAGGCAAUUUUGCUGCCUACAAUAUAGAAGGGUCUGAAAAUAAUGAUAAAGAAGAGGAAGGUGUUCAAGCCAAUUUAAUUUCAGUACAAGACUUGGAUUGGUGUCUUGAUUCCGGAGCUACCAACCAUAUGGUAGGAGAGGAGGCUAUGCUACAUGAUCUGGAGGAUUACCAAGGUACUGGAGGAGUAGUAAUAGGAAAUGGUGAUAAGUUAAAAAUAACAAAAAUUGGAAAAUUAGCCUUUAGAGUAAAUAAUAAUAAUUUUUUACUCAAAAAAGUCCUAUUAGUACCCAAACUAAAGAAAAAUUUAGUUUCUACUACAAAAUUAUGUUGUGAUCUUGAUUGUUUUAUAUUGGUCACACAGAGGGAUUUUAUGGUGAAGAGCAGGGAGACCCAACAGACGCUUUUUUCUGGGAUUAAUAAAAAUGGGCUCUACUACUUCACACCUGAGAUAUCAUGCAAUAUUGGAGUCAAGACUGGACUGGAUAGGUGGCAUAGGAGGCUUGGUCACCCCUCAUUGAAGAUUGGAAAAAUUAGGAGAUGAUAUAUGUGUAGAAAAAAUAGAUAGGAAAUGUUUGUCCUUUUGUAAUAAUUGCCCGAUGGCAAAAAUGAGUAAACUGCAAUUUAAAUACAGUGAAUUUAGAUCUGAAAAAUGCUUGAAUCUUCUUCAUAUUGAUCUAUGGGGCCCAGCUCCAACUAUCUCUAGAUUAAAUUUUAAAUAUUUUGCAACCAUAGUAGAUAAUAAAAGUAGGUACACUUGGAUAAUUCCCCUACACAACAAGAGUGAAUUUAUCUCUAUGUUUAUAAAAUUCCAAACAAGCAUUGAAAAUCAGCUUGAAACAAAAAUAAAGACAAUUCAAACCGAUGAGGGUGGUGAAUUCACAAGUAAUGAAUUUAAAAAAUAAUUGGCUAAAAAAGGGAUCACUCAUAGGUUCUCAUGCCCAUACACUCCCCAACAGAAUGGAAUUGUGGAAAGAAAACAUAGACACCUUCUUGAAACAUGAAGGUGCAUGUUUUCUCCUUCAGGGGUACCUAAAACACUAUGGCCUGAGGUGAUUAGCACAACCUGUUUUUUAAUUAACAGGCUGCCUAGUUCAGUAUUAGGCAAUCUUUCACCCUAUGAAGUUCUAACAAAAAGGAAACCAGAUUAUAAAAAUUUAAAGGAAUUUGGGUGUGCAUGUUUUCCCUUACUAGCUAAAGGUCUAAGAAAUAAAUUUGAACCCACAGCACACAAGUGUGUGUUUAUGGGAUAUUCAAAUGAACAUAAAGGUUAUAAAUGUUAUAAUCCAGAAAAUGGGAAAAUACUAGUGUCAAGGAAUGUGAAAUUCAAUGAACUAGAAUUCCCAUUUUUAGCAAAAGAAAACAAGGAAAUAAGCAAGAAAAAAGAAAUGGCAAAGUCAACAACAUGUUCCAUUAUAUUACCCGCAAUGACAAUAGGAAAAGAAAUAACCCAAGGGAACAACAAUUUAAUACAACAAGGAAAUAGAUCUGAGAGUAGAAUAAACAGUAAUUCUAGAACAACCACUGAAAUUCGAACAACAAGAGAAACACCAAUACAGUGCAAUGGUUCUGGAAACUCAGUGAAUAUAGAAGAUCUCUCUUCUCAACUUCAGAACUUAAGCAUUAGUGGCAGUCAACCUGAAGUGACUAAAACUCAAAGGUAUCCUACUAGAGUAAAACAACCUUCUGUGUUACUCAAAGACUAUGAAUGCUCCUAUUCAGAACUAGACAGUGAUGAACCAACUUCAUUUAGUCAGGCAAACAAAGAUGAAAAAUGGAGGGAAGCAAUGGUAGAAGAGAUGAAUGCUCUCAAAAUAAAUGAUACAUGGAGUCUAGUUCCUCAAACGAGUGAUAUGAACAUUGUGGGAUGCAAAUGGGUGUUCAAAAUAAAAAAGAAGGCAGAUGGAACCCUAGAAAGAUAUAAGGCAAGGUUAGUUGCUAAAGGAUAUAACCAGGAAGAAGGGGUGGAUAUAACCAGGAAAAAGGGCCGUAUUCAUCUUUCAUAGCCGUCCUCCACCCUGGAUGUUGCAAAGCCUGUUUAGUCGUCCUCGGUAUGCCGACCUGUUCGAUUGUUGUUAUUAGGCCAUACCUUGGAUUUGGUUUGACUAUCCCGUGCGAUGCCCUUGUUGCCAUUUUCGUAUCCACAAUUUGGGCGACUUCGGUGUCUUCGGUACUUUCGAUUUGUUCUCCGGUGACUUCCGUUUCUUCUUCAUUUUCUUCGAAGUCGUAGGUAGUUUCUCAGCUGGAUCAUUCGAACUAUUUGCUUGGCUUUGGGAGACGGAUUUGUGACCGUUCUGUUGCUGUACCGGAUCCACUCGAUCUUGAUUUACUGAUUUUGAUUCCUCGGGUACCUGUUCCCGAUCUUUUGGAGUUUGGGUGUUGAUUUGUCGUCCUUCCGACUCUUCUUCGACUUCGGGAAUUGGAUUGGUUAAGUUGAGUAGUGGAUCUAGGCUCAUCGCUGAAACCGUUGCUUCUGUUUGACUAGUGUCAAGGAUUCCAGAUCUGCCGACGAGACGGUGACGUGGCUCUCCGAUCUCGGGUUCUUGUUGGAAUACAGAAAUUCAUUUAAUGAAAAAUCAUUUUCAAUGAAUUUAACGUUUUUGGAUAUAUAGAUUUUGUUUUCUUCUGGACUGUAGCAGAGAAAUCCAUCAUUUUGUUAGGGAUAUCCGAUGAAAACACAAGGUAUUGAUUUGUCAUCAAGUUUAUCAUGCACGGGUAACAUUUGCUUCCAAAUAUUCGUAGUUUAUCAUAGUCUGGAGCUUGCCCGAAUAACGCUUCCAUUGGGAAAAUACCGUGAAGAAUUCUUGUUGGAUUCUUGUUGUACAAAGUGGCUGCCAUUAACACUGCAUAAUUCCAAAAUUUCUUGGGCAUCUUAGCAAAGUGGAGCAUAGUUAAAGCUGUAUCGACUAAGUGUCGAUGUCGUCUUUCAACUGUUCCCAUUUGGGGUGAUCAUAGGGGCAGGAAAAUCUGUGAUUAAUUCCGAAUUGAUCAAAAACUUUAAUCAAGACUUUGAAUUCUUUAGCGUUGUCGGUUUGUAUUGAUUUGAUUUUCAAACCGGUUUGUUUUUAACCCAUAUUUUGAAUUUAGAGAAUAUCUCGGAAACUUCGGAUUUCUUGAUUAACGGAAAAACUCAAUUGUAAUUUGUAGAUGCGUCGACAAAAUUCAAAUAAAACUUGUAACCACCAACCGAUUCUACCGGCGUCGGUCCCCCAUAUAUAAACAUACAAGGAACAUCGAACUUGAACUUCACGAACCCUUUUAAAAGAGCCAAUGAUAACAAGCGAGUAAAAUACAAUUUUGAUAAUUAAAAUGGAAUAGACAGACAGAGUCAUAUAACUAACUAUAUAAGAAAUACAAACUAACCACCAGUCAACAUACAAGACUAACUAUAUAAGGAGGAUCAAAACUCCAGUGUGAGAAUUAAGGAUGACGAGAAAUGAAAAAAGGCAAAACAGAACUUAAUUCACACUUAGCAGACAACCCAUUAAACAAGUUUAUUGAAACCAACACAACAAUUCUGAAUGAUAAAGCAUUCUGCUGCUUAUCAAUCAACUAUAAUUGAUUAGAGAAUGGAGCAACCGGCUCUUUCCUCGGCAGGAGUUGUUGCUCUGUGCUGUCUGUUGUUUGGAUCAGAUGAGUUAUAAGCGAACUCCGAAGUGUCAAGACCAUACUGUUUCAUCAUUUUAAAAAUAGAAGUUUUGAAUGUGAGACAAUGUUUGCCUAGCAGCUUUUUAAUUUUGAAUCGUCUAAAAAGAAUUGAAUAUACAUUUUCUCUCAUCCUUGUGCUCCAGGCAUCACUCCUGAUUGGACGCUGAUUAAUAUUGGAAGCCACAGGUGCACCAGUCACGGUAGGAAAUUGUCUGUUGAUCAGUGGUUGUCGGAAAGGUCUUGGGGCUAGAUACUCAUCAUCACUAUCGUAAUCUGCCGGCAUAUUUGCUGCCCUCACAAUGAGUGCAAGGAAAAACAGACAAAAUGUUGGUGGAAAAGCAUAAAUAAUUUCAAAAUCUGAAUACCAAAACAAGAGAUAGGAAGCUAUAAAUUGUAAUUUAUGAGCAGUAUUGUUUAAAUUAUAAACGACACACAUAUAUAACCACAUGGCAACUACCUAAUUAUGGAUUUGUAUGAUAGGCAACAAGGAAUAACAGUUUGAAUCAGAUCACUAAAACUGAAAAGAAUAAAUUAUUCGAAUAACAAAGUAUCUGAAAAUUAGAAAUAUACUGAGCAUAAGCAUAUAACAAAAACCUGUAAUGCGACAAUUCCCAAAGCAGCCCAUCUUAUAAAAUCCCAAUUGUCGUCCAAAAAAUCAUAAAUUUUUUCAAAGUUUCCUGUUUUGUCUUUUUGAAUGAACUCCAAAGAAAGAGUUAUAUGUACUGUUAUAUACAAGAAAAAGUAAGAAAGUAAAUUAACUUAAGAGAAAGAAGUCAAUGAAACAUACGGAAAAUAUAAUUAAUUUUUCUACUUACAUCUUCCCAGUCUUCCUUGAAAAAAAUGAAAGCUGCACAUCCUGAUUCCACUAGAAUCAACAAAACCACCAAAAAUGCAUACUAUGAUAGUUUAAGGAAAAUACUAGCAAGUUGAAUAGCAACUGAUGUGAUGAUAGUUAGUACUUUCUUUAUCUAACCAAUGAUAGGUUGAGAACUAAAUAUCCAAAGUGGGAACAGCUUUGAUUAAAAAUAUAAUAGGGAAAUGAGUAAAGUCAUCCUCAACUUCUUAUGCUUAUAAAGCUUUCCUAUGUGUCUGCAUAUGCUAACAUAAUAUAGUAAGUAUAAAUCUGAGGACCAUACAAAAUAUUAAGAGAACCAGGUCAUGAUUUGCCAAAUCUACCCAAACAUUCUAAAUAAAAUCACAAUUUUCUCCGAAUUUACGAUUUCUGAUGUCAGCAACUAGAUUGACUGACAAACUCCUGGAAUUUUAUUCAGAUCCACUUAAAUAGAAAGAAGCUAAUUAGAUUUCUAGUCGUCAAAUGAUAAUCAUUAUGGUUUCUUCUGAUAAUCAUUCCUCCAAAAACCGUUGUAGUUUCUUGACAUUCACUACCUAAACAAUGUAGCAGAAUAUUAUAUAAAAUGUUUGCUAAAUAGGUUAAAUGAAAGAAUGGAUAAGAAUAACCAUCGCAAAAAUCUGCAAAUGCUGGCUGUAUAAUAUAUACCCACAUAGGAAAGCCCGAUAUGCAUGAGUAAACCAAUUAAAGUGCCCUAAGAGGAUUAGACUUCAAUACUAUAAUUGCUUUGACCUCAAUUUGAUUUUUAUUUGCCUUUAAAAAAGGAAGAAUUGAAAAAAAUACUGACACAUUUAGCCCCUCUACUGUCACAAUUUCUAAAUCACAUGAAUCUAAAAGUUUGGUUAUUUAACUGAAUUUUUAAAAUCAUCUAACUAUAUUUUCAAUUUUGAGAAUUAUGGUAGAUGCAUCAAGUGUGCUUGAUUGUGAAACAUUUUGAGGAAUUACAGCAUUAACAUGAAAUAUAAAAGAAUUAAAAAAACAUAAAUAAAUGCAUAGUUUCAAUAAAUAACAGGAUACACAGGAAAGACAGCAUCCACUUCUUGCUAAAACUUCGAUACAUCCACAGCAGGAUAUGACAAAUUACAAGAGCACCAACACCGAUAAACAAGUAGAGGAACAUACAAAGAGUAAUUUACUUAAGAGAAAUAAUGUUUCUAACAUAAAAGAAGAUGAAUGUGUAACUUAUGAUGGAAGGCAUAAAAGAAGAAAGAUUUUAGAAGAACCUACAAAAUUCAACUUCAGCGGCGACAAAUAAUAAUGCCUACACAGCAUUUGUGAAAUGUUAGUAGAAGUAUGGCUGUGCAUUUUUUGUAAAGAGGAUAGAUGAAAGCAAUCAAACAAAAUAUAUCUGGAAAAAAUCAGAAUCAUGGUAAUAAUAACAAAUUUGUAUGAGAUGGCGGUAUAUUUUCAAUAAACAACUAUAACACGGAUGAGACCAGCUAUUUUUUUUUAAGAGAUUUAGAAAAACCACAAGGAAAAUAAGACACAGAGAUACCUUGGCAAGGGAGAUAUCUUUGUUUUUGAAACUUAAUGAAAUUUCUUAUGUGAAUUUAUCCCAUGCAUGUUUAACGAUCUGCAACAAGUAAUUUCAUUAGAAAUAUAAGAAGGAACGGUAAAAAAACAAAACAAAGAAACGAAUGGCCAUAAUAGCAAACAUGUCUGUGAGAAGAAUGAACAUGCCUGCUUUUUCCAAAUUGUUGUCUCAGCACAACCUUUUCCAUUAUGACUUCAGUCUUCAAGUGUGCACUGUAAAAAUAAACAUGGAUAAAAAACUAGGUCUUUUAAUAGAAUUUGUUCUCUUAUCUAAGGGAAUGAAUAGAACUAAAAAGUAACAAUGAGAAAAAUACCUGCAGUUGUGAUAAAUAUUCUCCAGAUUCAAACUCAAAAGUUAAUUCUACACACUACAAUAUUUGCAUUACAAAGUGCAAAACUAGUACUUUUUCAAAAUGAUAUUCAAUAUUUUUUUGUGAAAUCCAAUUUCCUCAAUAAAAACAACCAAGCAUAUAUGGAAGUCAUAAGUUACACUUAAAUUGAUCACAUAUAGCAUAACCAAUUACAUAUCGAUGCAUUAAGAUCAAGCAAGUUAUAAUUUUAAUAGUGUUAUACAUCUUUAUUCCAUUGGGAAAUUUCAUAAGUAAAUCGACAAAUAUUACGCAAAAUAUGUCAUCACCAGCAUAAAUUUUGUAUACUUUUUCUUGAUCCUCAUCUGUCCAGCUACUCUGAUUGAUCAACUAUAUAAUAAAAACAAAAUAAAAUCAGUCUAUAAUAAAAUAAAUCUAUAAUAAGAUAAAAUAAAAUUAGCAUAUUUUAAAUAAACAUACAUUAAAAAUUUCAGGAUGAGCAUCCAUAUUUCUAAUAAAUGCUAUCAAGUCUCUAUAAUUGUCUUGAUAAGAACGGUUACGUCGAAAGCUAUUAACUUUUCUAAAUAAUUCAUGAUUGACAUUGCUAAUUCAUGUUUUCUUUAUAUCAUGGAAACAGUCAGAUAUAUACCUAACUCUGUAAAAAUAAAAAUAAAAGAAUUGAUAUUAGUUUAAAAGUUCAACAAAUAUAUUAUAUUCUAUUAUUAAUUUAAAAUACCUAUAUUCAUGACCAUAUAUCUUAAAAUGUUCAUUCAACUUUUUCAAAGUCUUCACUUUUUUUGUAUGUGACCACAAUGUUGGAUGAUUUGAAAGAACAUGGAAUAUUCUACAAUUAAAAAUAAAUAUUAUAUGAAUAUUUCAUUUUUAAUAUAUAAUAUAAAUUAAAAAUAAAUAACUUACGAGUUACAUUUUUUUAUGCUUCCAAAGAAAUGUGUAAAAGAACUUCCAUAUUCUUGUAAUGACAACCGUCGAUGAGCAUACAAAUCAGAGAAAAAUUCAUCUAACAUUGGUAUAAAUUCGUCUAACAUUGGUAUCAUUUGAGAUAAAUUCUAAUUUUAAAAAUCAAACUAUCAAGAUCAAACUAUAAUAAAAUUAUAAAAUAAAAAAUAUACCUUUAAAUUUUAAAUCCAUAUUUCUAAUAAACGUUAUCAAGUUUUUAUAAUUGUCCUGAUAAGAACGGUUACGUGGAAAGCUAUUAACUUCUCUAAAUAAUUCACAAUUGACAUUGCCGAUCCAUGUUUUCUUUAUAGCACGGAAAUAGUCAGAUAUAUACCUAACUCUGUAAAAAUCAUAGUCAGAUAUAUACCUAGGCGUCGCAUAGGCGGUCAUGCGCUCCAGGUCGGAUCCGCCUAACUCAAUAACCCAUUUAAAUGACUUAAGUCAUUUAAAUAAGAGGGUGAGGGUUUAAAAAACCUUAACUCCUCUCUUAUUUCUUCUUUCUUCCUCUUUUCUUCCCUUCCCUCCUACAUUUGAACCCCAAACCCUAGAUUUUCAGAUCAUUUCCCCCAUUCAUUUUCUCCGGCCAUCUUCUAGGGAGACUUCGGCCACCACAAGGGAACACUCCGGCGACCUCCACACGUGCUCCGGCGAAGUCCAGGCAUGCUCCGGCGACCCUCCGGCCAUCGUCGACCUAGGUAUUUUUUGUCCCAAAUUUUUUUCCUAUGUGCCCUCUAUCUGUCCAAACCUAUAUCUCACUCCGGACAGUCAUAAAUCGCACUCCGGCACUCUUAAAGAACACUCCGGCGAUCACUUAAAAAAACACUCCGGACAGCAAUUAAUUUACCUCUGUCCAGCCACAUUAAAAUCACUCCGGGCAGCAAUUUAAUCACUCCGGACAGCAAUUUUACAUUAGAUUUUUGAAGGUAAAAACCUAAUAUUUAAAUUGUAAAUUUAUUUUACAAUUUACAUACCUAAAAUCUAACUUAGAUUGUUGGAUUGUAUUUAUUUUUAAAAUUUUCAGAAAUGUCGGAUGAUGAAGAAUACGUUCCUCCCUCAAACGAAGAACAAAUAGAGGAAAACAAAGUGAAGUGGCACUCUUCUUUUUCCGAAGAGACGAUUAAUAACAAGGCGAAUCGACCGAAAUCCGAUGAUACCGGAUGGAAAUACGGUUUCAUGGAAGAUCGAACAAAUCAAAACAAUGUUCGAUGUCUUCUAUGUAACUUUCUUUCCAAGGGUGGAAUAGGUCGGUUGAAGGGUCAUCUGACGGGAGGAGACAAGAACUGUAUCAAAUGUCCAAAUGCCUCGAGAUUUGUCUCAAAGGAGAUUGCGGACUAUGUCUCCAAGAAGAAAUUAGCGGCUAGCAAACGCAAGGACAAGCUACCAUUUAUUCCAGAGGUUGAUGCCAUCGAUUUAGAUGACCCUAGCAAUGAGCGAACAUUGAAGAGGAAGUUGACGGUCUCCGGUUUCGUUUCAUCGUCUCCAACCUCCUCCGUACUUGGUCCAUUAAAUUUGAAGAAAGGGAAAACUAUUCAUGAUAUCGUCCGGAAAAGGAAGAUCGAGAAACAGAAAUCCAUCGUCGAAAUUGCCAAAAAAGAAGACAAAAAAAUGGUCGAUCAUAUCUUCUCAGGUUGGAUGUACGCAGUAGCUAUGCCAUUCAACCAAGCUCAACAUAUUGAAUGCUUAACGACUUGUGAAGUCAUUGGACGAUAUGGUCCUGCAUACCGGCCUCCAAAUAUGACUCAGUUGCGAGAGUCUUGUCUAGAAAGACUUGUGGGUGAUAUCGAUGCGAUGAGAGCCAGGCACGAGAUAAAGUGGAAAACCAAUGGUUGUACUUUAUUGUCUGAUGGAUGGACAGAUGCCAGAGGAAGAAACCUAAUGAACUUCUUGGUGAAUUCGACCGAAGGAUCGUUCUAUCUUUAUUCCAUAGACACCACUCAUGAAAGAAAUACAGCUUCUUACAUUGCCAAGGCAUUAGAUAAAGCUAUGCAAGUCAUCGGCCCGAGUAGUGUGGUUCAGAUAUGUACAGAUAAUGCGGCGAACUAUGUUAGUGCCGGUGAAAUAUUGAUGAACAAGUACGACCAUUUAUUCUGGACACCGUGCGUAGCUCAUUGCUUGGAUCUGAUUUUGGAGGACAUUGGGAAACUGCCAAAGUACAAGAAGAUGAUUUCUGAUGGUCGCAAGAUAGCGACCUACAUCUAUGCCCAUGGUGUUCUCCAUAGCAUUUUCUUGACCAUAUCAGGUGGGAAAGAGUUGGUGAGAUGCGGAGUCACAAGAUUCGCAACGUCUUUUCUCACAUUACAAAGUUUGAAAGAACAGAGGGAAAAUUUGAAGAAGAUUGAUUGGCUACCAUGGGCUAAUGUGACUUGUGGAAGUGAAGUGCAAAAAUUAGUCUGGACCAACUCUUUCUGGUUGAGCCUAUACGAGUGUUUGGCCGUUUCUGAACCUCUAGUGAGGUUGCUGAGAUUAGUUGACCAAGAUGACAAACCAUGCAUGGGCAGAGUUCUGAAUGACUUGAAGAUGGCAAGGAAGCACACUAGAGAUAUGUUGAAAGACAAGAAUCUGUCAUUGCUAACCCAAAUUGACAAGAUCUUCGAUAAGAGUAGGUUUGCUGAAAUGCUUCUCCCAACGCUUAACCCGGAUUUCGGUCGAUUCGACAAGAUCCGACCCGGAUCCGCCUAACCCGCUCCAGCGCAUGAAGGCAAAUGCCUACAUGCGUUGGAGCGCAUGACCGCCUAGGCGUCGCAUGAAAAACUAUGGUCAUGACCAUCGACCACCGCAUGAACACAUGAAAAAGCUUGGUAAAAAUCAAGGUUUAAAAACCGACGGUUAACCGGCUGACCGGUAAAAAAUUAAAAACCGGUGGCCGGUUAAUUGGGACGGGUAAAUGGGUUGAUGGGUCGGGUCUUACCCGAACCCAACCCGAAUACCCAACCCGGUUUCAAUAAAAUAAUAUUUAUUUAAUCUGUUUUAAUUUGUUUUUUUUAAAGACUUCAUUUAAUAAAGCCCAUUACGUUUUAUUAAUAAGUUAUUUUAAGGCCUCAUUUAAAGGCCUUAUUUUAAUAAGUUUAAAUUUUAUAAGCCUCUCCUUAUAAGUUAUUAGACCUCAUUUGAAUUACUAUUUUGAAUGACUAUUUUGAAUUACUAUAUUGUUUAUGAUAUUUUUAUUUAUAUAAACAGGGAUAUAAACAUGGAUAUAAACAUGGAAUAGAUAUAUAAGUAUAUAACAGAAUUUCUGUUUUAAAAAAAAAAUUACGAAAAUACCCCUAUCGGUUAACCAGUGGUCUAACCGGUAAGCCAGAACCGAUUACCGGUUAAACGGUUUUUAAACCUUGGUAAAAAUAAAGAUAAAAGAAUUGAUAUUAGUUUAAAAGUUCAACAAAUAUAUUAUAUUCUAUUAUUAAUUUAAAAUACCUAUAUUCAUGACCAUAUAUCUUAAAAUGUUCAUUCAACCUUUUCAAAGUCUUCACAUUUUUGUAUGUGACCACAAUGUUCAAAACAUUGAAUAUUCUGCAAUUAAAAAUAAAUAUUAUAUGAAUAUUUCAUUUUUAAUAUAUAAUAUAAACUAAAAAUAAAUGACUUACGAGUUAAAUUUAUUUAAGCUUCCAAAGAAAUGUGUAAAAGAGCUUCCAUAUUCUUGUAAUGACAACCGUCGAUGAGCACACAAAUCAGAGAAAAAUUCAUCUAAUAUUGGUAUAAAAUCAUCUGUAUCAUUUGAGAUAAAUUCUAAUUUUAAAAAUCAAACUAUCAAAAUCAAACUAUAAUGAAACUAUAAAAUAAAAAAUAUACCUUUAAAUUUUAAAUUCAUUGUUGACGAUAACGUUGUAAUAUAAAAAGUCCCUUUUUGACGAAAAUAGAAUUUGUUGUAAGCUUAAUCGGGAACAUUUCAUUACUUUCAGAGCGAGAUAAUCCAUUGAAAAUAUUUCUAUAUAAAAAAAAUCGAUUAAAAAAAAUUAACGUUAUAUAAAAUUAUGUAAUAAAAUACCUUAAUAUUUCACUCAAUGCGUUAUAAUAUGCAUCUUUUACUUCUUUCAGCUCUUCUAUAUAUCUGUAUAGGGUUAUUGUUUUUGGAUAUAUAACAUAAGUAAUACAUUUAUGCACGAAUGUAUCAAAUACUAAUAGACAGUUUUUCAUAUAAAAAAAUUGUUCAGAAGUAGAUAUUUUUAUACCAUCGAUAUUUUUUAAUAUAUAUCACUGAAAUACUCCGACUUCCGCAUUUUCAGUUAUAAGAAGAGUUGAAUAAACAUAAGCUGAAGCUGUUUGACAUAAAUACAUGGCAUUAACCUAAAUAUAGAUUUAAAUAUGGAAAUAAUAAUAAAUAUAUAAAAUAACUAAAAAAAUCUAUUUUUUUAUUUUUUUUGAGAAAUUAAAACUUUCAUUACUGAAAAGAGGUUGAGUAUGGCCCAAGAUUACAGAAUAAUAUAGGGCAAUGCAAGUACAGUAAAUGUAAAAAUAUUGUCCAUCUCUUAUGCAGCUAUGACCUUGACUAACUGGCCAAGGAUUGAAGCUUCAAGAGGUUGGACUCCCAUGAGCGUAUAGCUUGUAUUUCAAUCUGUGAAAGAUUGUGCUUUUUAUAAGAUGUAGAAUCAUAUGUAAUGCUCGCAUCCUUUAUAAUUUCUCUGCUGACAAUUUCUGGAGGCCUUAGGGUGUGUUGUUUUAAUCUUCUAUUCCUUUCACACCAUAUGUGUCAGGAAAGAGAUGCUAGCAUAGUCCAGUGUACCCCCGAACAACUGGACUUGUGGGUGAAUUUUUGUAUUGUUUUCAUAAUAUCCCCUAUCCUAAUAUCUAUUGUGGGAGGUGGGGAAUUUUACCCAUUAAGUGUCCAAACAACAUUGUUAAACCAGCUAGUGGUCUCUAGUGUAAUGGCAGUUAAAGUAUAGGUGUUGUAAUGUUUCUUCCUCAUUUCCACAUAGUGGGCAGGACGUAUUUAUGUUGAGUCCCCACCUUUGCAGUCUAGUUAAAGUGUUCAAACUCUUGACCUUAAUUCUCCACAACAGCAUAAAAAAAUUUGGAGGCUUUUUGGCCCAGGUCCCUAGAUUUAUCUCUUGUAAGAUGCCUUUGGGCCUUAAUGUUUCUGAGUGCAUGGAGGAGGCAAUUUGUGUGACCCUAUAGUUACUCAAGCAGUUUAUACAUUUCCUUAUUGUUUCCUUAUUAGCUAGUAUAGUUUUCCACAUGUGUGAGUCCAGAGUAGGCCUACACUCUAUGUCCCCAAUGCUUCUUCCUUUGAUGUACCUAAUUUUUACCCAGUCUGCUAGUAUGGAGUUAUUAGGACUCCACAUCCUCUCUGUUUUUUUAACCAAAGCUGCAGCAUUAGUUGCAAAGAAAUCCCUGGCCCCUAUUCCGCCUUCGAUCUUUGGGAGUGCCAUUUUUGCCCAACUACUCCCUCUUCUCUCGUCCCAAAUGAAAUUGUAAGCUAGGCUCUGGAUCUUUUUAAUGACUGUACAUGGCAGUGUGGUUCCGUUUACCCAGUAUUGAAACUUACCUUGUAGGACCCAAUUUACUAAUUGGGUUCUGCCUGCGUAAGACAGACAUCUCCCUUUCCAUCUAGCUAACAUUUUUUCUAUUGGAUUUAUUAACUUCCAACAUGUCGCGUGAGAUUUCUUUCUUCCUGUUAUUGGAAGACCAAGAUAGUUGAUAGGGAAGGGUUUAGUUGGAAAGUUGAGAAUGUUAUGCAGAUAAUGAUCAUUCAUGCAUACUUUUGAGUAGGUUGCCGAGCUCUUCUCCUGAUUAAUCUCGAGGCCUGAGAAUUUGGAAAAAGUCUCUAGGAUUUUCUUGAUUGUUUCUAAAGACUUGGGAUUUGCUUUUGAGAAGAUCAACACAUUAUCCGCGUACAUGAGAUGCGAGAUGGAAACCACUCCAUUCACGAUAUAAGUAUCCAUCCUUUUAUCUUUGAUCUCUCUCUAUUAGUCUACUAAGAUUAUCCAUUAUCAGGUCGAAUAAGAUAAGAGACAAUGGAUCCCCCUGCCUGAUUCCUCUAAAGUUAGUGAAGGGGGGAGUGGGAGAUCCCUCCACCAGUACCGAAAAGGAGGCUGUGGAUAUACAGUUAUGUACCAAUUUGCACAACAGAGGGUUGAAUCCCAUUGUGUCAAGGGUGUGUGUGAUUGCUUGCCAUUUCACUGUAUCGAAUGCCUUUUUGAGAUCUAUACUUAAACAACAUCUUUUGGGGGUUCUAAUUCUCCCAAAGCCAUGUACCAUCUCGUCUGCCAAGAUAAUGUUAUCUGAGAUGCUUCUUCCUGCUAUGAAAGUUGUUUGGUGAUGAGAUAUUAACUCGGAAGAGACCUUGGAGAUCCUACCAGCCAAGAUUUUGGUGAGAAGUUUAUAAAUUAAGUUGACACAGGAGAUUGGCCUAAAAUCCGAUAAUUCGGUAGUUGUGGGUUUUUUUGGGAUAAGAGUGAUAAAUGUGUGAUUAAUUGACUUCAAUAUGGGUUUGCCGCUGAAGAACUGUCUGACACAAGCUAGGAUUGUUUGCUUUAGUUCCGGCCAGAGAGCUUUGAAGAAACCCACUGUGAAACCAUCAGGUCCUGGGGAUUUCCCCAUUUGAAAUGCGAACAAGGUGGAUUUGACUUCCUCUUCUGUGGGUUGUUGAGUCAACCAUAUGUUCAUAUCUUGAGAUACAAUCCUAGGGAAAAUAACGGGAGAUGGUAUAUCUGGGAAGGGAGAACUCUUGUAGAUAUCCUUAAAGUAAUCCAUACUCCUUUUUUCUAAUUGGGCUCUUGAGAUAACUACCCUACCCUUUCCAUUUAUUAAUUUUAGAGUUGAGUUCUUUGCCUUCCUUAUCUUUGUAGCAAGACUAAAGAACUUAGUGUUUGAGUCUCCUAAUCUAAGCCAGCUGACCUUGCUCCUUUGUUUUUGGUUAGCCUCCUUUAUUUUGAGUUUAUUGACUAACUCCUCCGGCUUCUUUUUGACCUCUUCUUGGAUAGAAGGAACUAUUGGGCUAGUGUUUAGUUGCUUCACCAAGGAAUCAAGUUCCUCCUUAGUGGUUGUGAUCUGUUUUGCAUCACUACCCUUGGUCGCCGUCCAUUCCUUUGCGAGUAUUUUGACCUCCUUUAAUUUCUGUUGUAGGCAAUAUAGCCCAUUGCCGCAAAUUGGUUUAGCUAGUCCUCUCCUGGCUAGAUCGAGAAACUCUUGCUCCUUCAACCAUGAAUCGAACAAUCUGAAAGGCUUUGGUUUCUGUGCUAUUUGCGCAAUUGAGAUAAGCAUUGCAGCAUGGUCGUUAUGCGAGCCAUUCCAAAACUCUACCCUUAUCUCUGGAAAGAGUGAAAUCUAAUCUUGAUUCGAGAAUGCUCUAUCCAGUCUAGAUUGUACAAACCUAUCCCCUGCCUGCUUAUUAUUCCAUGUAAAUUCCCCCUAUUGAGGGGACCUCGAUUAACUCUGCUAGGUCGGUAGCUUCAAUGAAUUCAGAAGGCUCUCCAUGAACAUAAACCCCAGCCCCUGGUCCUCUCCUUUCCUCUGGAGUUCUUAUUUCAUUGAAAUCACCCAGCACUAACCUCUGGAGUUCUCCUUUCCUCUGGAGAUGAUAUUAGGUUGGAUGUUCUUAACUGUGUUCCACAACGGUCUCCUAGCUUCCCUUGUGUUGUUUGCAUAUACUACGUAGAUAAAAAACACCAAUCCACCCUCGUUGUAUACCUUAGCAUGAAGUAUUUGCCUAUCCAACAAGAUUGGAACCACCUUCCAAUGGUCUUUUUUCCAUAAAAUCAAGAUUGAGUCUGAAUAUUCUUGGUCAUGUGGGAUGUUGUUUGAAAUUACCUCCCACUCCUCCGAAAAAUUGUCUCUUACUGUUUGGAAUUGUUUGGUUUUAACUCUAGUCUCUAAUAGCGCUACUAUGUCUAAGUUCUUUUUAAGCAUCACAUUUUUUACUUCAUUCUGGAUUAGAGGGGAGUUAACCCUCUAACAUUCCAGGUCAUUAGCGCCAUUGUUUGGGACUAAUGACCUAGCGGUGAUGGGAUGGCUUAGUCUAGUUAAUUGCCUGGGUGGCCUUUGCCACCUCUGCAAUUGAGGAAGAUUUUUUGCUCGAUGAAGCAUUCGAAGAGGUGGGUUAGACACUAAGACAUUACAUUACAACACCUAAGGCAUUACAAUCAUGUUUAUAUUUCUUUGAUGGACAAGAUCCUAUCAAAGAAACCCCCGUUUGUUGAUAUCAAACGUCUACCAAAGUAUCCCAUCAAGAGGAAGCCUUCUUUGAGCAAUGUUGGUUCGUCAUCUUCUAGAACCAAAAAAAUCAUAUCGUACGGGAAAAUUAAAGUUGAGUCUUUUAGGUUUUGAAGAGGGUCAAACAUUUGAAGAUAGAGUGAGGUCAAGAAAGACCGAGGAAAAUCGAUAAAGGAUCGUUGCUGAACAUUAUAAAGUUCAAGAUAAAACAAAAUUGUCGUUGAUUGCGGUGCCAAGUUUUUCAUCACUAGUGGUGUUGCGUUCAAUUUAACCAGAAACAUGGAAUUGCAGGAAAUUUAUCAAUCUUUUAGACAAUCUGAAUUUUUGACUACAUUAAAUGACAUUAAGGUUUUAGCAAAAGUUAUUAGACGUUACGGUCUGAGCUACAUUAUACCCUCGCCUUAUUUUCGGAUCUCUUUUGGAGAAAAAAGUUCAGAAUAUUUACAACCUACGGAAGAAACAUGAGGUUCAAUUUGCUAAAUAUGGAUGCAUAUUGAUGAGAGACGAAGAUUGGAGAGUUUAUUGCUAAGGGUCUGUCUAAGGUGAUUGAGACAAUCAGUAAGAAUAAUGUAGUUUAACUGUGCACCGACAAUGCAUCAAAUUAAGUUAGUGCCAAACUCUCUGUGCCGCAUACGUACUGGAUCUCGUACUUGAAGAUAUUGGAAAGUAAAAUUCAUUUCAAUUCUAAAUGAGAUCAAUAUAUUGAACCUAAAGAAGGGGUGCAUCAUGCAGCAGAUUAUAGUACUCAUCUCAUUGCUAAUGAUGAGUUUAAUGAAGAGUGAGAAGGAUCCACUGAUCUGGCUCUUAAAUGGCUUGACCCGAGUCAGGUCAUUCCCACCUCUCAUUAAGAGGAUAUGACCAAAUUGAAUGGUAGGCUUUGAACACGGUAAGUUUACUGUGUUCAACACAGUAAGAUUGGCUCACUGGUCUCAGUAACUAUUGAGCUUGCUGAGCUUCAAGGAUCGAAUCUCACUGUGUACAUUUCCAUCUAGAUUUGCCCGAUGAUAUAUUAUGCGACUCUGGUAUAUCAUCCGGAGGUUUGACAGCUCUACAUCUGUAGAGAGGUACCCUCCGUUAUCAAAAAAAGAAAGAAUAGUAGACUUUGAUGAAGUUCGAUCUAUAUCUAUAUUCAAAAUCAUCUGAUUACAAGGUUUAGGUUGCAUCAUAGCGCAUAGCGUCGACAACCAACGCUAUGGGGAGAUAGCGUGCUAUAGCCCCAAGUGUAAUUUAAAAAAAAAAUUCAGAUAAAUUUUAGUGACCAAAAUAAAAAGUAAAGUCAGACCUUGUUUAAAAAAAAAUUAAAAAUCAAGAUGAGCAUCUGAGCCUAUUUAAAAAUUCAGAUCCUUUUUUUUAAUCAGAUUUGAACAUGAUUUUAAAAAUUAGAAUUAUGAUUCUAAGAAAAUAAAAAUAAAAAAUAAAGAUCAGAAUUCAAUUUUUUUAAAUAAUAAAUUAAUUAAACGGACCAGCGACGAUCACCGGUUUAAAAUGACCAACAGCGUUCAAUUGACCUCGCCGAAUUAGAAUUGCCCAAUGAGGGUUGCUAAGAUGCCACUUAUCAAUGUAGUUCCUUGUUAUUUGUUCCAGUUCUCUGUAGUUCUUGAACUCCUUGUUAUUUGCUUUGAAAUUUGCUAUCCUCCAUCCUCUGUUUGAGUGGUGGAUGUUCUUUGCUGCUACUUGUGGGUGUUUAAAUUUUUUCUAAAAAUGUUGUUGCUUCUACACUAAAAUCCUUGUUGCACUAAUUCCCUUUGUUUGUUGAGAUCCACAUUUUAGCAGAAGUGCCUCCAGACUGUUCCUUCAUUCCUAUUCUCCUUUUCCGACCACCUUCUAGAUAUUUUUAAGGAAUAUUAUUGCCAACUUAACUCUCCAGAAGUCCACUCCUUGUCCAGGUCAUUAUCCACAUUCUCAGAUAUCAACCUAGUGUCCAGUUGGAAUGCCUAUCUUUCUCGUCUUUAAACUAGCCUAUAGCAAGUUUCUCUUCUUUUUCCUCUUGUUUCUCGUAUUUUUCACCAGGAAAACCUUCCUAUUGCAGAAUAACUCCACUUGUAGGAUUACUAAGGGUGUGUAGUUGUCUAAGAAAGAGAGAAUAUACCUCCGAAGAACUUGGUUGGAGUUAACUAUCCUUGGUGGACUCCGACGAGAGAUACCACUUUGGAGGUGACCUUGGGUGGGGCUGGUGGUGUAACAUGAGAUUAUCUAUAAUCGGACAUUUCUGUCGUGUAGUGUGACUGCCCAGUAUUCUUCUUCUUAUUGCACUAUUCUAUUUUUUCUAUUUAUCUGAAUAUAAUUCUUUAAUCAAACAAAUAAGUAUGACUAUUUACUAGUCACUGUUAAUAAAAAUAAUGAUAUUUAACGGAUUUCUUGCUCUACAUUCGAAGAUUAACUACCACACACAUCCGGUUAGACUUCCCUUGUUGGAAUCCACUAAAACCGAGCUGGGGUUAGCAUCUGCAAUUGAGGAGACACAAUUGCAGAGAGAUAUGGCACUGCUAACAACUCAAGUAGUAGUGAAUUGAGUGGAUUGGUUUUUCUGACAAAAAGAUACGAUGUUAAAUAGCCUCACCUGGGUUUUUUUCACCUUCCCACUAUUAAAGAUCAUCACAAUAGAUGAUUAUCAACAUAUAUUGGACAAACAUGGAAUAUCUCUUCCCUAUCAACAGAUGAUCGUAGAUAGAGAUAAACAACUUCAUAGUUAAGGAAUGUAACAUAAUGUAACAAGAUGGAAGGAACCAAAGGUCUUCCACAGAAUGUAACUAUCUAUAAACAUAAGGGAAUGAGAGAAAAAAAUAGUAAUCAGUUUUACCACCAUAUAUCAUCACUAUCAUUCAUAUCUUGGUGCGGACUUAGGUACGAGGACAUAUCCUUGAAGAUAAUGGGAAUGAGAAACUCGAACGAUAAUUAGAUUAACAAAAAAGAAGACAUUUUUUUCACUAUUUUAGAGAAUAUCUAUGAAAAUGUCCAUUAAAAUUUCAAAAUAAAUGUGGAAAAAUGAAAUGACAAUAAAUAAAUAAAAGUUACCUUUUUAAUUUUAAUGUUUCCAUAAAAUAUCAACAAAUGAUGGUUGAACAAAAUUUGAUCUGUACAUGACAGAAGGAAGUUUAUCAAGAAAAAAUUAAAAAAGAAACACUGAAACACCAAAUCCUAAAUGAAUAAAAUAGGAAAAUCUCCAUCAAAUCUCUUUCUUUAAGUAAAUAUAUAUCUAUUUCUUGAAUAUAUAAAUUGAUAUUAUUAUAACUAUUUAGAUCUCUUCUCUCCUGAAAAUCCAGAGGUAAUUCCAGAUCUACGUCUAACCCCAACUCCCAAACUCUAACAUUUGAAAAAGGCAUCGAUUAGAAAAAUAAUUAAAAGAGGGGAAGAUCAGUGUCGGUGGAAAAUGCAGCAGCGGUAAUAAAAUUAAAUACAGAGACACGAUAUGGGAAAGACGAAUAUCGGUAAUAAAAUUAAGAACAGAUCUGAUUUAACCUUUGAAUUUAUGGCAUCGGUGGUGUAUCGACGAAUUUGAGAUCUGCAACACCCUCCUCCUCUGGUUGAGUUGUGCAUUUUCCUGAGUGAACUUGUGAAGAGUGAAAAGUGGGUUUUAUCAUAUAUUAGGGUUUUGAGACGUACAGGUUGGAUGAUAAUAAUAAACUUUUGGUGUUGGGACGGACGGGUUUUAUUAUAAGAUAAAUCCACUGGGCUUGGGCUUGGGCGUUCGUGAGUUUGGAAAUUUGAACUAUUG